This 81932-nucleotide long non-coding RNA is filed under the name Lactuca sativa (garden lettuce). Lineage: Eukaryota; Viridiplantae; Streptophyta; Magnoliopsida; Asterales; Asteraceae. The record is from RNAcentral.
AGGAACUCACUAUGUGACUUAGAAAGUGAUUGAACCACCAACUUUCUCAAGACUUUGACACCCAACUCUCCCGGCUUGUCAAUAUGUGACUACAUCUCCAAGAUGUGAUCACACCUAGACCUUGCCUUGCCAAUAGGGCUUGAGUGACCUUAAACUUUUCAAGAACUUGUGGGUUAGGGAGAAUAAUUGGAGGAGGAGAAAGAAGUAUGAUAUCCAUGGGACAUCAUCUUCAUUAGGAAACCUUGUUUCAAGAGAUUUGGGAAGAUCAUAGGUGUCUAAACCAGACAUCUUUUGGGAGAUAUUCAAGAUAGUUGAUUUAAAGUCCUUAAUAUGACACCCAAUAUGAAAUAUUAAGGCUAGGACCCAACAAACUAUUUUAUAACUUAGAAGAGGUAUGCCGUAAUCCAAGCUAUAAAAUAUUUGAAGGUAGGUGAAUGACGAUUCACCAAUUUCCACCAAGAUAAACGAAAUGUAUUAUUAGGUUUUAAUUGGUUUUGAAACUCCUAGAUCUUUGAGAUUCAUUGAACUGUUCAAAGGCAUGUUUCAAUCUCGAGUGUGCCCUUCAGGUUUUGUGACUGGGAUGCCGAGGAUCACAAAACAAGGUGUGAAGUAACCAUGCAAAUCACUUGGUACCCUUAAUAAAUUACCCCUCAAUCGAUGUGCCGGUUAACCACACACGCUCCAUCGAUACUAUGAUAAAUAUUAAGUCACCCUUUACCUACCUUGUUAAGUCCAAGUUAGUGUGCCGGUUAACCACACACGCUCCACUAACGACUUAGACAAAGUGUAAAGUGUAAUUUCAUGGAUUAGCACCUUAUUCACAUUUUUCCUAAGUAACUAAGAUUGGGUAUUAUUAAGAGUUUAGUUACUUAGUAUUAUCAUUAAUACUUUUAAUGAAGGGAGAAUUCUAGUCCUGUCAAACCCGUUCGGCUAACGACCCUCCACCAGUCAAGCAAGCGGUGGGUGAGAGUGGACACCCAUUAAGUUGCCAUUUUAUAGGCAACAACCUUAUACCCACCUUAUAGACCGGCUUCGUGAAUGAGGCGUACUAGCGGUAAGACUGACUUUACUCUUAUACAUAUAUAUAUUAUUAACUUAUAAUAUUAUAAAGUAUAAGGGUUGAAUUUUAACUUUUAAAAUUCUAAGGGCUAACUUGGAAUUAAAGUAUUCAUAAGUGAAAACUUUACAAAUUCCAAAACUUGAGGGCAAGUUUUGAAACUAUUCAAAACUAAUUAAUUCCAUAACUUAUGUGUUUAAAGUAGUUUUAAUCCAAAAACUCUUCAAGUUCCAUAACUUGAGGACAAGUUAUGGAAGACUUUAAACUAAUAAAAGAAUUAACUUUUCUUUAUUUUAUAACUUAUGGAAUUAAUUAAGGUUACACUUUUUUUUUUUUUAUUUUAUUUUAUUAAAUGAAGAGACUCUUGGUCCUCCAUAACUUGAGGACAAGUUAUGGAGUCAUAAAACCAUUUAAUUAGAACUAGACUCUUCAUUUUUGUAACCUUUGCCAAUUUUUAUGAGUUUUAUGAUUCUUAAAUGUGACUUUUCAUAUAACUUGAGGACAAGUUACAAAAACACAUUUUAGAAUCAAUUCUUAGAUUAAUUUGGAUUAAAACCAACUAUCACAUAAUUUUAUUCAUUAAUCUAAAUUCACUCAUAAAACAAGGUAACACAAAAAACUUUUGGUGAUCCAUAACUUAUUCUUAAGUUAUGGAAUCCUUUAAAACAUUAACACCAAAUUUUGUAACUCCAAAAAAACUUUGAAUCAAUUUUUUUUUUAAAACCUUUUCAUAUCCAUAACUUAUGGAGGUUUCAAAAAAUAAAACUCUUUAGAUCAAACUUUUAAAACUAAUAAAAUAAUCAUAUUAUUUUAUCUUUUAUUAAAUUUGACCUAAUUCAACUCAUAAAGCAAAUUAUUCAAAUUUUACAAAUAAUUAGUUUUUCACAAGAACAAGUAAUUAUCUUAAAAUUUGACAAACUUCAUGUUUUUUUUUUUUUUUUUUUUCAACUUUGAAAAUAAAAUAUUUGCAUCAAUAUAACAGAAAACAACCCGUGGCUCUGAUACCACUGUUGGGUUUUGAGCAUUCUAACACUUCCUAAGUGUACAUGCAACCCUAAAUACCUUGGAUCUAUGUUUUCUCUAUUAUACAUGCAAAUAAGAACAUCCAAGGUAUUAUCCUAAUCUAGCAUACAAAAACUAUGAAUGUAACAAGAUAGAAUACAUACCUCUUGAUGUAGCUUGAUGUCUUCAAGCUUUAAGAGCUUAGCCCCAAUAGUGUGGAAGCCUCAAGUGGAAUCACAAAUCACCAAGACACCUUGGAAUACUUUAGAGAAUAUGAUUACUUGGUUCUCUCUAGUGAAAUUGGCUAGCCCUUCUUUAGUGUAUCCCCACUAGUGCCCAUUUCACCAACCAAAGACAUCUUUAUAUAGUAUGGAGGAUUAGGGUUAAACCCUAAUACCCAUGACCUUUCAUUUCCUAGGAUCCAUGGGUUAAACACUCCAUGGACUAUCCAUGAAAGCUUAGCCCAACCUAAAUGAACUUGGCCCAUUCCAUAUAUAUAAGAGUCCAUAUUUAAUUAGUUCCUUUUGAUCACUUAAUUAAUUAUGAAUUAAUUCUUGAUCAAUACUAAUUAAAUAAUAUGAUUCCAUAUUAAUAUAUUAGAACUUAUAACAUAUUAAUAUUAAUCAUAAACAUACUAUUCUCAAAAGAUUAUCCAUAUAAAUUGUGUCGGUGAAGUGCAACCCAAAUGGACCAUGCCGGGUCGGGUCAAGUACAUACCAAAUAUAGUUAUGGACUUAGACAUUAAUCCAACAGCACCACCAUUAUGCAAUACAUCAUGAUAACCAUUAGUGAUACUGGUACAUCUAGAGGGAUCACACCCAUCACAAGUUCCUUGGUCUUGCCUCAGCCUUCCUUAAUUCGAGUAUGAAUCCUCUGCUUUCAGUAGUACGGGCCCAUACCACCUUCCAUAUCUAUCCGUACUUUCCUCAAGGUCUGCCUUGACUCCACCAAGUCCCCACUGCUGAUCUCUGCUACUCUCAUCCUAGGCUUACCCUAGGGAACAUCUAACUCCACACAAACAAGUCCUCAGCUGCUGAAGGCUUUCCUGUAAUGCCAAUUAGCCAUUACCUAAAUACAAUCACAUGCAACGAGGCUCGGAUAAUCCUUCGAGUAAGGGACUCAUCUCUACAACGGUUAGGACUCAGAAAAGAGCUGUGAAAUAGGGCCAAAUCCAAUCCUCUAAGAUUAUUCAACCCUUAUCAAAUGUGACUUAACGUAUUCACUCAAUAGCUAACUCCCAUCACUCAAAGUCCCACUAAGAACAAAGCAAGCAACAUUCAGACAGAAGGGAACGAUCUCAAGCAAUCCUAUCCUCAUAACAGGAAACUGUACUAGCAUACAAUGCUGAGCUCAUACUACCAGGCAUAACCUAACAGGCUAUCCAAUUACUGUCUACUCAAUACUAGCAUGCAAAUCUCAUAAGCUAAAGCACAUAACUCAGGCACAUAAGGCAUCAUUCCUAGAUCCUUAGUCCUAUUCUAGCAUGUUGUUCUACUGAAACUGAUAAACAUAAUAUAUACUUGUCUGGGUACUUUGGGGAAUACUUACUUGAGCUCAGCCGGUCGCGCACAUCACAAACUUUGUUCUUUCCCAAAACUCUUUUAUCUUAGCUUUUAAGAAUAAUUCCUUAUUCACAUGUAUAUGUGAGUCAAGUGAAGGACUAAGGGAUCAAGUACACAUUCUUGUGCACUGAUCAAGUCCACCACAAAAUAUCGAUAAGACUAUUUGUAAUGAUUUACUAAAGUUUAGUAAAUAUGAUUAUAAUUAUAGGUUUAAGUAUAAUUCUGAAGCAUUGGAAAAGUUUCGAUGUAUGGAAGAAUGAAUGAGAAGAAUCAAAUUAGGCAGAAGGAUAAAAGUUUCUCAAAUCUGAAAAGAUGGGAGAGUUGUAACGACCCAAUUUUCAAGUCCAAAAAUUUCUUUUUUAUUUAACUGGCUCAUAAAAACAUUCAUAAGAAAAUAUUGUGAAAUCACAUCAUCUCAUAAAACAAUGUAUCAUGUCUGAAAACCCAAGUGAUAAAAUUAGUAACAUGUCAGAGUACAAUCCCAGAAUAUCCAUAGUACGGAAAACAAUAAGUGUGUGUAUGAUGUGCUGCUACCGCGACAGCUCCUUCCCCUUCGUUGAAGAGGUACCUAAAACAAAACUGUAAACUAUAAGCACGAAGCUUAGUGAGUUCCCCCAUCGUACCACAUACCAUACAAUCACAUAGCAUACAUACUUCCGGGCAAUUCUGGGGUGCCUGACCUACCCGGUACGACCAUUCUAGGGUGCCGACCUACCCGUACGACCAUUCUGGGGUGCCGACCUACCUUUGCGCCCAUUCUGGGGUGUCGUCCUACCCGUGUCAAGCCAUUCUGGGAUGUUGACCUACCCAUGUCAAGCCAUUCUAGGGUGCUGACCUACCCGUCGGUCCUAACAACUGACCCUUGGGGACUAUUCAACCCCUACUGCUACUAUCACAUAUAUCAUAACAUAAACAUACUAUCAGACAUAUUUGGGGUGUCCAAACUACCUUUUGGUCCUAACAACCGAACUUGGGGACUAUUCCCCUCCUACUACCACUAUCACAUAUAACAUAUCAUGCCAACAUAUAAACAUAUCAUCACAUACUGUCAGACAUAUCUGGGGUGUCUGACCUACCAUUCGGUCCUAACAACCGAACUCUACUACUAUCACAUAUAACAUAUCAUGCCAGGAUAUAACAUAUCAAGUAGUAGCAAACCUAGAUGAUAUCACAAAUACAAUCAUCUAAUCAUACAACUCCUACUAGUGGGCCGGCAUUAUGGUCGUAGACCCACCGCUACUGGAAGGUAACUCACCUCGAACGAGUAGUUGCUGAUAAUCUGUGCGGGAAACCUCUAUCUGCUGCUGCUUCAGAAAUCCUCUGGCUGUAAUCCCCACAAAACACUCAGUCAGAAACCGAUAUCAACUCUUGGGGUAAAAUGACUAUUUUACCCCCAACCAAGUCCAAGUCAAAGUCAACUGUCAGUUGACCCGACUCGCUGAGUUGGGCUGUCAACUCGUCGAGUGCCUAACUCUUUUCCCAUCCUUAUCCACAACUCGACUCGUCGAGUUUGGCAACAACUCGACGAUUUCCUCCUCUAUAUGAAUAUCGAAUGAACCUUCAUCUGACUCACCAAGUUGUAUGAACAACUCGUCGAAUUCACCUUCAUCUGAUGAACAAGUUCUGACCUUGAGUCGCCGAGUUAUAUGAAUAACUCGUCGAGUUUAUCUUCAUCCAUAAGGAGAUUGCCUUGGACUCGCCGAGUCUGUUCUAGCACUCGUCGAUCCCAUGAACUCCAGGUCUAAGGCUAAGUCCAAUACAUUGGGUCACUCCUUCAGACCUUCUACAACCUUCUAACACCCAACUGAGUUCUUUUGACCCUCAAUAGAUAUGGGACUUUAUGCCUUGGACACGUCGAGUCCCAAGAACGGACUCGCCAAGUCGAUAACGUCCACACCCUAAAUCCUCGAUUUAUGAUGCACAACCUUUGACCAAAAGAUAGAUCGAAAACCCUGAGCUCGAUCUAGCACGUAAAGUUUCGAACAUUACGUGCAUGCAUCGGACUUUUGAGCCCAAAAGGAUCUAAAUUGGCUCUUAUGUUGCAUUGGACCUUCCUUGGGUGCAAAAGCAACCCAAAUCUGCCUUGUGACUCCUCCCAAGACUUAGAUCCGAAGUCUUGACCCCCAACCAUGUUUGCAAUCAUGGUUGGCUACAUCAUAUGGCUUAAAAAGUAAAUCUUCCCCAAAAAGGGAUCUAACAAACAAGCAAGCACAGACUUUAUACCUUUCAAAGACUACAAAUGAUGAACCAAACUCGAAUCCUUCAGUCUCCUCUUGAUCUUUCUAUGCUCUUCCUUCUUCCUUGAGGUCAAAACCCACUAAAAAUCACUCAAAAGCCUUAGAUCUUGCACCAAAACACUUAGGGUUUGCUAGGGAGGGUUUCUGGGAGCAAUAGGGAUGAGUGGUGGCUGAAAGAGAUGAUUAAAUAGGGUGCAAACCCUCAAAUUAGGGUUUUGUCCAGUCAGAGCCUACUCGUAGAGUCCGGGACCCAACUCAACGAGUCCAUCACUUAACUCCCGCUUCCCAUCCCGCUUCUACUCAGCGAGUGGGUCCUUCAACUCGCAGAGUCCCAGGUCAAAAAUGAAAAAUACUAAAAUGAAAAUACAUACCAAGAACCAGGUGCUACAAGAGUACUUUAGUGUCAAUUUUUGUGAUCAUCUCAAUGGUUAAGAAACCAUAUCACAAUUGGUCCUCUAAGGACAUCUUAUUGCAUUCUUAUGACUAAGAAGAGGAAUCUUGAAUUGUUGAAAUGGUUAAAUCAAGAAGAUGUGUCUUACUUCGUUCCAAAACAACUCCAAGACUGUAAGUUAGUGACAUAUCUUAAAGAAAGGUUUAAAACACUUGUCGAAUGUAAGAGUAAAAGUGUCCUACUCUUGUACAUUUGAAAUUGGUAAGUUGUGAUGUUUUGGAUAAAACAAAGACCAACUUAGGCCAAUUGUGUGAAGUGUUUGUCUUGAUAAAGAAUCCACACAAUCUCUUGAAUAUUUGGCAAGAUAGCCUUAUAUGUCAAAAGUACAGUGGGAGUCUUAAAGAUCCUGGAAGAAUUUCAAGAUCUAAUCAAGAAUAAAAGCCUAUAGUUUGACACUAGCACACGACGUGAGGUUUAUAACCUAUCGUGUUGACAUAUUCCUACUUCUGUGCCCAUUCCAGUGAAAGUUGGCUUUGCAUAUGAGUUCUAAGAGUUCUCAAUUGAGUGAAUAACAACUUGGAAGCAAUGGCAGGCCCUUGUGCUGCCAGGUGGCAAGAAGUUAAGACUACACUAGUUCGAUCCAUAUGAGUUUGGAUUUUUCAUUAAUCGUGUCUUGUGAUUAUGGUUUUGACAAAUUCACAUGGAUAGGAACACAUACACCAUAAAAUCUAAGUGUCAUAAGGUUUAUCUCCGAUUCAUGAAAAUGAUGGUGAGGAAAUGCUUUCACUAAGUAGAUUUUAGGUAGAUGGAAAGUGUGAUAUUCGCAUUCUCAAAGUCGUUAGUGGAGCGUGUGUGGUUAACCGACACACUAACAUGGACUUGUGAGGAAUGGAAAAUGGUCUAAACAAUUGAGACUAUGAUUACGACAUCUCUUUUCAUUGUUCUGAAAUUAUUUAAACACACAUGUGAGCUAUCUAAGGAAAGGUGUGUGAUAUUGAUAAACUUUUAUCAAAGCAUCUCGUAUCAGAAGUUUGAACUUUGGUAAGAAAGUCAAUAAAGUAUUGAUUUCUAGAAGUCCAGCUGAUUUCUGAGUACAUGUCAAAGCUAGUGGGAGCAUGAGUGUAUUGAUAAUAAUCAUCAUGUUAGUGGGAGCUUGAUAAUUAUGAUAAAGGUUGCAAGUUAGCAAUGUUAAUUAUAGAAAACAAAAGUUUCAAUUCGUAGAGUUGUAGGGGUUGAAAAGUUGUUUUUCUAUAAUUCAGGGUGAGGAAAUUAUACUUCAUUUCAAUUCUAAAAGCUUAGAUUGAGGUUUUAAUCAUGUUUAGUCAAGUAUAUAUAUGAAUUUUGUGUUGGAAUGGCUCAACAUAAGGAAAUUCUAUAUAUGGGUCUAUUAUUUGCAUUCUAAAUUUCGAUUAUGAUUACGACAUCCCUUUUCAUAAUCUGAAUUAUGAUAACUUGGAAAAUAGAAAUAUUGUAGCAAAAGGACUGGUCUAGUAUCAUGUCUUUAUGUGAGACAUCAUGAAUUGUGUCCCAUAUGCAUCGGAUAUAGGAUCGAUUACGUUUGAUAUAAUAUUCAUCCUUUCUAAAUUUUCCAAAUGACUGGGUCAUUAAGAAGGGAAAAGGUCUAGCAUUGGAUAUGACUAAAAGGAUUAAGCAAUUGUCGAGGACAAUCUAAGGUUUACCAAAGAUUGGUUGCUCAGGGACAAUUAAAAGUAAAGUGUUAAUUUUGGAAGGACCAUAUUGACAUAUUCCGAAAAGAGGCAACUCUUGUUCAAGAGUAAUACUCAAAAGAGGAAUAUGGAAAUGUUCCCAUAGGUGGAAAUUAUUCAUUAAAUAAGUGUAGGAUUAGGAGACUUAAUGCAAGAAGAAUGUUCAAGGGCAAUGAACUUUGAAUAUGAGACUUCGGUUCCAUGGAGUUGGUCUCCAUUGGAAUACUUUGCAAUGUAUGUUGACAAGUCUUUGUGACUUUGUGCAUAAUCAUUAAAAGAGGACCAAUGCAUAUAAGUUUAGAAUCUAACAGAUCUAGUUAAAUGGUAGGAAUUUGGAAUUCUUGCAUUUGCAGUAAGGAAUUGGGAGUGUGAAAUGAGAAUCAUUGGAAUUAUGUUCAAUCGAUCUAUUUCACAAAGUAAAGAUCAUAGACAAACUUAAUAUGCAUACUUGGUGUAUAACAUGACUAGUGUUUAGAAAAACAUAGUGUACAUUCUUGGAGCAUGGGACAACUAUUGUCUUAAUUCAAAUAUAAAGCCGAUAGUUUGAAACAGUAUGCAAUGAAUGAUGGAUAAUCAAUAUGGUGAUAAAUAAAAGAUUUUUUUACUUAUAUUCAUAAGUUUUGAGACCAUAUUGGAUUCGAUUAUUCUUGUGUUUCACUUUGCAUGUUUUGACUUUCAGAAUAACUAGGUCGUUCUUCCUGAUUGACUAAGUUAUUCAAACCAUCCAUAGUCGGUCACAUGUUGGAAGUAGAUAUGAAUCAAGAUUGUCAUGGGUUGGCUUGUAGAGGUUUAAGAUGUUGGAAAAAAUAGUGCUACAACACUCAUGAGUGCUCAUAAGUUCUGAGUAUUGGAUUCAACCCACGCUCAUUGGAAUCACUUCAUGGAUUUUAUCAUGAGUGAUCAUGAGACGAUAAUAUCUUAUAUUCUUCAAACCUAGAGAUAUGAGUUGUUACUUUGAGUUGGUUAUACAUUGAUUGCACGAAACCGCAUUGGUAACUCGAUGUUAUAAAACGUGCCUUUGUGUAUGAUUCAACAAGUAGUAUAACACGCCAUAUGAGUCGAAGUUUAUCCAUUCCUUUUCCCUUCGUGAUAAAAGCGAUAUAUGUGGGCCCCUCGAUGAUUUAAUGAUGAUACAUGUGAGUGCUUGGCCAAGCCAGGACUGAUUUGAUCUGUUCAAUCAGUCAGUCAUCAUGAAUCGGAAAUUAGGAAACAACAAAUGGACAGAGAGAAUGAUUUUAAUCCAUGUUUGAGUCCAUACGAUAAUAUCUAGAAUGGAGGAAUAUAUGGUCCCUUAUCUAAUGGACAAGUCAUUGACAAAGGUCAGAGUUCGACAGUGGCUUUUGAGAGCUACGAUUUCCAGUUGGUUUUUGAAGUCAUACGCAAUAAUAGUUUUAGGCUUAUCCAAGUGGGAGACUGAUGGAUUAGUGUCUAAGUCCCUAACUAUAUUUGGUAUGUACUUGACCCGACUCGGCAUGGCCCACUUGGGUUGCAUGGCAUCAUGCAUUUGGAUAGACUAAAAUGAGAGAAAUAAUACUUAAGGUUUGGUAAUAUAUUAUAAGUUCUAAUAUAUUAAUAAGAUUAUUUAAUUAGUAUUCAGCAAGAAUUAAUUUGGAAUUAAUUAAGUAAUCAAAAGGAGACUAAUUAAAUAUAUGGGUUGAUUGUGUAAAUCCUCUAUACUUGUAUAGUAGGCUAAUGCUCCAUGGAUUAUCAAGUUUGGCUAAAACCCAUAGGAUGCUCCAUGGUGUUUUUGUACCCAUGGAUCAUGGAAAUGAAAGUCCAUGACAAUAAGGGUUUACAUGGUGUAACCCUAAUUGUGACACACUAUAUAAGCAUCUUAUUCUUGUCACAAUCGACCACCUUGAGAGACUAUUAAGGAAUGGUGAGGGCUAGCCGAUUUCAUGAAGUGUAUCAUUUCUCUCUAAAUUAUUCCAAGUGCAUUUCAUGUUGUGUGAACCAUUUAAGGUGUCACACUUGGGGCACUAGGCUCUCGAGCUUCAUGGAGUUAAGAUACAUCAACAAGGUAUGAAUUUCUAUCUAGUUUAUUAUUCAAGUAUCAAAAGAUUGUAUGCUAGUUAGGGUAAUACCUUGGAAUAUUCAUAUUUGCAUGUAUAAUAAAGAAAACAUAGAUCCAAGGUAUUUAGGGUUGCAUGUACACUUAGGAGUGUUAGAAUGCUCAAAACUUGACAAAAAAUUCAUAAGUUUCUUUUAUAUAAACCUCUGUUACGAAUUCUUUGCAAAACAAUAUAAAAGUCGGAACAUGAUACACACAGAACUAAGAUAACAUAGUUCGAUUGACACUCAACUUAUAACCACUACUAACGACUUACCACAAUUUCACCUUUUAAACCUUAUGACAGAAUGAUACCUCCAUGUAGACCAAUAAGGCGUGCCAUCAACAACACAUCAGCAAAUCCACCACCUUCGCCACCACCAUAAUAUGACCCUGUUGUUGUCCAGGUUGCUGUAACAGCCGCAGUGACAGCCGAUAUGGCUCAAAUCCACGCAAGUUGUGCUAGUGGAUCUGGUAGUGGUGUCAACCCAUGGACACCCAAGGGAGUGUUCCUAUAAAGACUUGACCAAAUGAAUACCCAAAUCCUUUAAUGGAAGCGGGGGAGCCAUUGCCCUAAUGAAAUGGUUCAAGAAAACAUAGUCUAUUUUUGAGAUAUGCACAUGUCCAGAAGAGAGCAAAGUGAAGUUUGUUGCCUGCACCCUCUCUGACAAGGCCUUUACAUGAUGGAAUGGCCAUGUCAAGUCACUGACCCUUAUAGUGGCUAACUCAAGGGGAUGGGAGAACUUAAGGCAAUGAUGAUGGAAGAGUAUUGCCCGAGGGGCAAAGUGCAAAAGCUGGAGCAAGAGCUUUGGAACCUCGCCAUGACAAGCUUUGACAUAGUAUCCUACACUAAUAGAUUCAGCGACCUAGCAUCACUAUGUCCCAGGUGUUGGAUUAAUGUCUAAGUCCAUAACUAUAAUUGGUAAGANNNNNNNNNNNNNNNNNNNNNNNNNNNNNNNNNNNNNNNNNNNNNNNNNNNNNNNNNNNNNNNNNNNNNNNNNNNNNNNNNNNNNNNNNNNNNNNNNNNNNNNNNNNNNNNNNNNNNNNNNNNNNNNNNNNNNNNNNNNNNNNNNNNNNNNNNNNNNNNNNNNNNNNNNNNNNNNNNNNNNNNNNNNNNNNNNNNNNNNNNNNNNNNNNNNNNNNNNNNNNNNNNNNNNNNNNNNNNNNNNNNNNNNNNNNNNNNNNNNNNNNNNNNNNNNNNNNNNNNNNNNNNNNNNNNNNNNNNNNNNNNNNNNNNNNNNNNNNNNNNNNNNNNNNNNNNNNNNNNNNNNNNNNNNNNNNNNNNNNNNNNNNNNNNNNNNNNNNNNNNNNNNNNNNNNNNNNNNNNNNNNNNNNNNNNNNNNNNNNNNNNNNNNNNNNNNNNNNNNNNNNNNNNNNNNNNNNNNNNNNNNNNNNNNNNNNNNNNNNNNNNNNNNNNNNNNNNNNNNNNNNNNNNNNNNNNNNNNNNNNNNNNNNNNNNNNNNNNNNNNNNNNNNNNNNNNNNNNNNNNNNNNNNNNNNNNNNNNNNNNNNNNNNNNNNNNNNNNNNNNNNNNNNNNNNNNNNNNNNNNNNNNNNNNNNNNNNNNNNNNNNNNNNNNNNNNNNNNNNNNNNNNNNNNNNNNNNNNNNNNNNNNNNNNNNNNNNNNNNNNNNNNNNNNNNNNNNNNNNNNNNNNNNNNNNNNNNNNNNNNNNNNNNNNNNNNNNNNNNNNNNNNNNNNNNNNNNNNNNNNNNNNNNNNNNNNNNNNNNNNNNNNNNNNNNNNNNNNNNNNNNNNNNNNNNNNNNNNNNNNNNNNNNNNNNNNNNNNNNNNNNNNNNNNNNNNNNNNNNNNNNNNNNNNNNNNNNNNNNNNNNNNNNNNNNNNNNNNNNNNNNNNNNNNNNNNNNNNNNNNNNNNNNNNNNNNNNNNNNNNNNNNNNNNNNNNNNNNNNNNNNNNNNNNNNNNNNNNNNNGACUUUUAAGUAGUACUAAAGAGUACCCCGAAGAUGAAUGUCUCAAAAUUUAUUCGUUAACAUAUUCACGUAGUUUGUAAUAAAAUACUCGCUUUAUAACUCGAUAGUAUUACCGUUUGAGGUAUCCAAACUAUACCUAUUACAGUUUUAUCAAAAUGUUUUAUGUUGUAAAUGGAACCUUACUAUGCAUGACUUUGUAUUUCAAUAAAAUGACAAUGGAAAUGCUAACUAUAAACUCCUAUACACCUUGCUCAACAUGUUACAAGGUGUGAAUAACUCUUAAACUUGUUUUAACAUUAUGAGAAACUAAGCUUUCUUUGUGAGGUAAGAAAGGUCUAAAAGUGUGGGAAUGAUUAAGUGAAUCAUGAAAUCCUCUAGGGAUUUCCUUAUAUAGGUGUGACAACCGUCAAUUUUCGGUCAAGUCAAAGUCAACUAAAGUCAACAAGUCAAACCGGUCAACUCAAUUUGCCCGUAGGUACUAGAGUUUACGUUAUGUAAUUUCUAAACAACUCUCUAUUCUAAUGAGAGAUCAUAAAUCGAAAAGUGCGUACAUCUAGAUCUCCUUAACCUAAAACGGUGGUACGUGGCGAGCCAAACUGAUAAAACAAUGUUACAUACUCAUCGGGAGUAUGCAAGAUCCUUAAACAAGGCUUAACGGGGUUUACGGACCUUGCAGUGCGAAGCCGGACACUCAAAAAGGUCACCAAUGAAACCUCUCUCAAUCGUUUUCACUCCAUCUCUUCUUAUCAGAAAUCUCUCCCAAAUCUCUCUAAGUAUGUGAAAUCUCUCCCAAAUCUCUCUUUGUAUGAGAAAUCUCUCCAAGAAUGUCAAAUCUCUCCCAAAUCUCUCUAAGUAUGUGAAAUCUCUCCCAAAUCUCUCUUUGUAUGAAAAAUCUCUCCAAAAAUGUCAAAUCUCUCCCAAAUCUCUCUAAGUAUGUGGAAUCUCUCUCAAAUCUCUCUCAAAAUCUCUCUCAACUUUCUAUAAUCACUCGGGCAUCCCGAUCCUCAAAUUUGGCGAAAACAGCCCAAAAGCGGAAAUCUACGCGAAAAACAGACUUAAGGACCCGAAACCCCUCUUAGGACCCGAAAGUCCUCUUAGGAACCGAACCCUUCUGAGCCGAAGGCUGCUGAACUGAACCCGAAAGGUCCUCUCGGGCCCGAACCUCGCCUACACACCCGAACCCGAACAUUCGGCACAUUUCGGGUCUGAUCACUUUCUCCUCUGAAGACCGAAGACCGAGCCUUCGCUUCUGAGUACACCGAGCCCUCGCCCCUUCGCUUCCUCGCCCCCUUCGCUUCGCGCCAAGCAGUCUUAGGGACCGAACCCAGCCACAGGAGGACCGAGCCUCGGCCAGGACCGAGAGGUCUCGCUGGGAAGCCUCUUUUCUCCCGGUUUUCAACUAUAUUUGCGUUUUAGGCCCGUUUUUAAUUGUUUGAACAUGGGAUUUCCACCCAAAACUUUAUUUUAACAUAUAAGGACCCUUAAUUAUUAAUUAAUCAUGUUUUAAACAUAAAACCUUAUCCAAAAGAGUGGGUGAAGUACAAAGGAGGAGUGUUGACUUUCCUUUAUUCUAUGACACAAGCAACCACUCCCAAACCCACUCCAUGUCACUAUUCACCACCAGCCCAUCCCUAGUCACUUCAUAAGUCCUUUCUCAUUAUUUUCAACCAUUCCCACGUUCUUAGGGCUGGAACAUCCACCCUCUCUCCUCACACUUCAUUCAUUCUCUCAUUUUCACCAAGAACCACACUCCAAACUCUCUCAUCUUUCUCUCUCCAAUUCGAGAAUUUCAAGGCAUACUCCAAGACUUUUCUCCUACAAUUAGUAAGUAUCAUCAUCUUUCUUAUGAUUAUUACACAUCCUCCUACUCAAAAUCAUAGAUUGCUUACACAAACAUCAUCACAUUCUUGUUAGAUCUUCGAAUCUUCAAGUGAUUCUUCAAGUGUUCUUGGGUUGAACACUUCUCUUCUUCAACACUUACCUACUGAAAUCACUCAAGGUGAGUUCAUACCCCUACAUUUUCAUGUUUUCUCAAGUUUUUAGGGGGAGAAUACAAGUAAAACAACAAGAACAAAACUAAACUUUUCUAACAGCCUUCAUCAGAAAAGUUGGACCCCAUUCACGGACUGUUUUGGACAACUUAAACAUUUUUGUUUACAAAACUGUUUUAGGUGUAAGUAGUUCCAGUUCUUAGCUUUAAAAUGACUACUUGCACAUCUCCAUACGAUUUUUCUACAAUUUAUGGUGAUUUUUACAAAACUGCCUAUCAUUUCAAACACCAAUCCGGACCAGUCUGUGAUUAUGGACUUUUUCACCCAAGUUGGAGGUCAUUAAAAAUCAUGAUAAAAAUUAUGAGUAAACUAGACACAUUUUGGGAACUCUCAGAAUUUACGGAUUUAGUUUUCAACUUCGUAUGAUUUUUCUAUGACUUUUCAAAAACAGUGUAGAAAGGUUGAAAAUUUGUUAACAGCUUAUAACUUUCAUAACACUUUGUAUUAUGUUGAGCAAAGUGUAUAACGAUAAGUUCUAAAUAUUGAAUGUGUUUCCUUGUUAGUUUAUCAUCAUAAACUGAAAUAUAGUCAUUCAUGAUAAGAUUAUUCAUUCAUUUAGAACACGUAUAUUAAGCUAUAAUGAGCAUAGUUUAUGGAUUCAUAGCAUUAAAGCAUUCAUAAAAGAAUUCUUAUACAUUACAAACGUUUUGGAUAAACUAUAAUAGGUAUAGUUUAUGUAUCAUUUACUUCUCAAACUUAUUUACCAAAGGUUUUCAGUUUAGUUCACGUAAAUCUGUUAAUGAAUAAAUUUGUGAGUCAUUCCCUUCGGGUUACUUCCAAAGUAACAAAGUCAAAAAGUCCUGUAAAUUGUAACCAGAGUCUCUUGUAGGGAGAACGUGAUAGUUGUGUAUAGAUCUAUAUUGGGUUUGACAAACCCACACCAGAGCUGCUUGCAACAGCUAGACCGGCAGGUCUGUGGUGACAAGUGUCAUUUAACGGCGACGCCUGAAGAACGUCGUAUUACGAGGCCGUCUAUGUCAAGUAUGGUUAUGAUAGCUCACAUGUGGUAUUAACAAUCAUAAGAUUUACGGGUUCUAACUUUAAAUUAGCGAGUUAUGUCUAUUUAGCUCACUGAAAUUACUUUAAGUAUGGAAAAAUACUUAUACGCCUUCAUAUCAAAAAGGGUUUUAUGUCGAUUUAAAAUCACUUUUUACAUCAACAAUUACAUACUUUAUUGUAUACUUUCGGUCUUGGUAUUUAAGACUACACAUCAUUCAUUACGGGAUUUUUCUCACAUCAGAAAGGGUUUUAUGCCGAUUUAAAACCACUUUUAUAUCUUUAAGUAUGACAAAUAGUUGUUCAUUUUCGGUCCUGGUAUUUAGGACUACAUAACUUUUGUAAGGAAAAUAUUGGAUUUUUCUUGGUAUCAUACAUCUCUUUACAAAGAUCGAUUUUCAAACUCUUACUGUCAAAAGCUUAUGAACUCACCAACCUUUGUGUUGACACUUUUCAAAACUACUUGUAUUCUCAGGAAUUCAGUGAAACAGGAAAUCAACCACGUUUUGAGGAUGGGACGAUAAAUCGUCAAACAGUUCAUUUUGUAUCAUAAUGUAAUUGAUUCGAAUCAUGUAAACAUAUACUUUGGUGUAACUUUUUCAAUUAUAUUUAUGAUGGUUGUAUUUACUUUGAGCACUAUUAUACUCGUUGUUGUGAUACUCUACAUGAAGUCCUCCACCCCCGGACGUUUCCGCCAUUCUUGGUUUGGGGGUGUGAUAGAUUGGUAUCAGAGCAUUGUUUAUAGUGAACUCAGUAUAUCGAACAACAUAAGAUAUACAAACUAUAAAUGCAUUGGGACUAGAGUCUCUGAUUUAAAGUUUUCAAAACAACUAUACUUUUAGAAAUAAGUAGUUUCUUAUUAAAAGUAUACAGGCAUACAUACAUACUAAGGUCAGCAUCAUUCUAGAACAAAACAAAAGUAAUGAUUGUGGAUAUCACAGGUAAGCUCGGGGAUGUAUGGUCAGUCUUGGGAGUGGCAUAGCCUGAUCAACUAUGCUGGUCCGAGGAGUGAUUAGCACAUGCCCUAGAAUGGUUCUGAUAUGUCAACAAGUCUAAAAACUUACCAACACUACCACAAUGAAAACAUUAGAACAAAACAUGGGUUUAAAAUACUGUGGGAGUAUUUUGUAUUAUUAUAAGUGCUUAUCUGAGAACUAAAUAGAUUUUUAUCAAUAGGUCAAUAAUUGAUUAGUGGGCACAUUAAAAUUAUAUGUAUCCAGGACGUCAUAGACUUAGAAUUUGUGGAUCUUUGGUUUACUUCCUGUUCUCGUUGGAUUGGGGAUUUAGAGUUAGGGUCGCUUACUCGAAGGUCUGUCCUGUCCCAAAUACAUAUGACCGGUAUGCAUUAAACAAUGAAUUGAAGUACCUGAUAAAGAUCACCUUAUAAUUAUCUAAUUAGUACGUCUACUUAGUUAUUUCGUAUAUCCCUAUUUCUUGCGUGGAUAUCAUGGCUGGAUUUCCUUCCCCACGACGACCCGUACUACCCUAACCACGACAAUACUGAAUGACUCGGAGAGGAGCCAGAGAAUGAUCACCCAACCCCUGUGGAUGAUCACCAAACUGAAGGAUUUGCUGAUGGUUUUGACUCCGACCCUGAAGUGGAGAACCUAUCCCCGAUGACCCAUGUUCCAAAUCCCAACCCUCGUCCGGCUUUUCAAGGCCCGACGCCUCAUUGGGUAGAGUGCUUGGAACCCUGGAGCAAAGAGCAAGGCCAACCUAUGCCGUUUAAUGGAAACUGAAGCUUCUACAACAUAAGCAAAGGAAGCUCAGCAGAUAGAAUUCUCCCAAUCCUGGUCCGUAGAGUUUCCUGAAACGAGAUUCAGGGCAAAACAACUCUCUAUCGUAUCGCAGAGGUUGAUGCAAAUGCAAGAAUACAUAUAAUCCACACCAAUCGCCUUGGGCACACUCGUGAAAAGUCUGAGAAAGACCAUGAAACCUUGCUGCAAGCACUGGCUGAAACACGAACCAAAGUCAUAGAACUCCGAGUACACCAGAGGGUGUACGAAAGGCACAUGCUUGAUAUGGAGCGGCAACUAGCUGAAUUAAGGGUUCACCAGAGGGAUGACCGCCGCCAGUAGUAGAUGCCUUACUUCAUUCCAUGUUAAAAAGGGAUCGUUUAUCCUAUCUAUGUCCUAUGUGGCAUUCCCUAUGAAACCAUCUUGUACUGUAAGUACUUUUAGUUAGUCCUUUAGAAGGCCAAAACUCUCCUGCUCCGGAUAUGAUGUAAGACCCUCUACAAGGUCAAUUUUCCUAAAUUUGUGACAUCUUAAACAUCAAUGACAUUAUCUGUCGGCCAAAUUCUGUGUCACCCCUUGUUCAAAUACUCCCAACAUGCUGCCAUAGGAGCAUAUCUGAAACCCACUCUAGUCAAUUUGUUGGACUAGAGUAAUUUAGCUCCGGAAUCGUUCCCAAUCCUCUCUCCAAGGUUGGAUCAUGUUAUUCACGAACCAAUGAAACCCGGUUUUGAACAACAAACAUCGUAAGAUCACUCCCUGAACUUACUUCUACUUUGUAAUAGGACUGCAUCAUAGGGAUGUAGGUCAAACCUCCGAGAACAUACUCAAUUGGUCAUAAUAAGGACCUAGCCUGGGUCAAGUAGAAGGCUCCACCUGGCUACAGAACUACUGAAAUACAUGAGUUACCAUGCAAAGAAUCUCGUUAUGAAUUGUUUUCAGAAUGCCCUUAACGACCGAAUUGCGUUACAAAUCAAGAUAAGAUAAAACUUAGUUGGAAACUCGUGACGUAUAGCCAUUCUAGAAACUCAUUAUCAUCUCAUCUUCAAACAUUUUGUUGGGAAGUUCCUUCUUCAUAAACUUAUGGGGUGCGAUCAUACCAGCACUAAUGCACCGGGUCCCAUCAAAACUCCUCAGCCAAGCGUGUUUGGACAAACAUGAUUCUAAGAUGAGUAAAGCUUAACGCCUGUAUGAAACCUACUCCUACCCACUACCAAAACUCCAUCUCAGGAGCGUUUGCGGAAACACUAAGAAUAGUACAUCAAUGUGCCUAAAUUUAUAUAUAUAUGAAUAUAAAUCGUAAGAAUGCACUUAAGAUAACCAUUUCCACUAACGAAGUCAUUUUUCAUCGUGAAACAGAGCUAUGACUACACCAAUAAGCAACCAACCAGCUAGCAAGACGUCAACUCUGCAGAUAGACGCUGCUACUUUUCAGGCUGCAGUCACGGCAGCCGUGGCAGCCUUCAUGGCACAGCUCAAUACUAACAACGUCAACAGAAAUGGAAGCGGUACUGACAAUACAAAUUGUGGUAAUAUUCAGGAACACCAACGGGGGUCUGCCAGCGAAAAUACCUCAGGUCACAAACCUACGAACAAGAAGAGAAAGUUUUGGAACAUGAAAGAGCGCCACCAAUCUCAAAGAUUCACUAAAAGACAACAACCUAUGGCCACCCCUAACAUUACAACAGCAGACACGACACAUGCCUCGACACUAGCCACGGGGUCUGCCACCCAAACGUCGGCCAGACCAUAUAAUGGAUCACUUCUAAAGUGUAACCAAUGUGGCUUCCAUCACAAUGGGGCUUGCCGGGAGAUACAAUGUAAUAACUGCAACAGGAAAGGACAUAUCGUCCAUUUCUGUAGGGCCCGGACGCAGUACAUCGCUCCGACCCCCAAUACCAAAGUAUUUCCAGGGUGCUUCCGAUGUGGCGAAAUAGGACACUUCAGGAGGAACUGCCCAAUUAAGAAGAAUGACGGGGGAGCCGGAGGAGUGUGACAAAUGAACCAACAAGUGUAACAGGGAACCAUAUUAGGACUUUUGUAAUGUUCCAAUNUAAUGAAUUUUUAUAUACUUGCUAAAAUCCAUGACUUUCUAAAAGUAGUUAAAAUACUCCCUCGUCCAAAUCAAACCAAAGUCAUUCAUAUAUGAUCUUAGGAUCAUUACCUGUAAGAUGUGACGACUUUGUACCUACAUCGGGGUUAAAUAUAAUCAAAAUACUGAAGUCUUGAAACAAAUAAUUUCAUCCCGACUCCUAUUUCGUGUCUAGUAGUAAGAAUUGAGUGUGGCCACCCACUCGACGAUUUCACCAACAUCAACUUACAUACGACAUUCAUAUACCGCUCGAUCGUAGGGAGACCUGUCAGGGAUCAUGAUAUCAAGUAUCAUUACUGGCUGUCAAAACACGCCCACUACCAGUGCUAGAGACUAUGGUAUGAAUCAUCUACAAUAGUGAUAACAUCAAACAAAAUGAAUCACCCUAAAAAGAAACACAAGAUACUCUAUCACUCUAGUGAUCUCUUCUUGCGAACACAGCUUAACACAUGUUAUCUAAAAAGAUAUUGUGGUCAUCAUCCAAUUUUCAUUGAUAUAGCCCUCAUCUUCCUGAUUUAACGUCUACAAAAGGACCCUUCACCUAACCCCCCGAACAUCGAAACCUUCGUCUCUCAUAAACAUCCAACACGAACCUCCGGAUCAUCUCUCGCUGUGGAACCCCAAAACACGCAUCAGAGGAGUGUUGUACUUCCCGAAACCUUAUCACAAGUAUUUAUAGGAGACCUUUGGAAAUGUCGCAUGUAGCAGACAAGGUUCAAGUAUAGGAGCUUGGGACGGAUAUGGUACGAGUCCUGCUAUGAGCUUCGGGCCAAGAUUGCCCAGAGGGACGAGUAAAUGUCCUACCAUCCGAGAAGGCCUAGUCGCGUAAACCAAACCCACAUGUUUCCUACCGAGCUACAAAAACUAUCAGGUCUGAACCUGUCAAACUACCCAACAAUGAAAAUGAAGAACCAAGCUUCUCACCCUGGAAAGCUCUGGUCUUAUUCUUCAUAUAGAAAGGCAAAUUGCUCAUAGUUCCAUUGACUUCAGAGGCCCCGAUAAUAUCUCCAGUAGAAACCUUUACUAUCUACCUUCGCAUAAACGAAUAGGCCGACCAACCACAAGGAACGAGGUACCCUUCAGGAAUUGAACCUGAGAUCUGAAUAUCACCAGUCGCGAGUAUUGGAAAAGGAUGUCCGAGGACAACCCUUCAAAUUUGAUGCGGACGCUACAAGUCCGUAGUGAUACCCCUCGGAUGGGACCAACCCGCUCGCAUUAUUCUUAGGAUAUUCCAUUCUUACUAGGAUUAGUUCGUCAUUGUCAUUGUAAAUGACUUGAUUACCUACCCUCAGAGUAAGAAGGAAACCAAGGAGAGCAGCUACAACAAACCGCGAAAGCAAUACGAAUCGAGAAGCUUUACCCGAAGUUCUCUAGAUGCAAGUUUUGGAAUCGAGGACUCGAAUUCCUAAGACACAUCCUUAUCAAUGUGGAAAUCCUUAAGGACCCUUUCAAUUGAUCAAAACCAUUGAGAAACAGUCAGCACUAAAGGCGUCAGCAGGAAUACCCCAAAAUUCUGGGUCUCGCUGACUUACCGUCUUAGUCCCUUUGGGACUUCUCGUAAAUUACAGAACCCCCUUACAAAUUUGACCAUGAAGGGAGCAACCCUUGACUGGGAAGAGAAGCAAGAGGAAGAAACCUUUAGAACUCCUGGAUAAGAGACCAAAUUCCUCUGGAAACCUCACUCUGGGCAGGCUUAAUACGCUUCGAAAAGCAUGGAAAGCCAAAACCCCAGAUAAUUAUGCCUUUCGAGAUUCUAGUAAGAAUCAGCCUUGUAAUCGCAACUUCAAUCUACUCCCGCGAGCUUAGUAAAGUACAUUCUACCCGACACAUCCCGAACUUGCAGAAGUAUCUAUCCGACGAGACUCUUGUAAACCCCCCUCGACGAGAUCGAGUUCCACAAGAGCCUCACCUUCGUGAAAGAACCAUAGUGACCAUGGACCGAGAGGUUAAGCGAACGCAGCAACGCUGCUUCCCAUUAGUGAAAGUUCGCUGGAAUACUAACCAAGGACCUGGAGUCACUUGGGAGCGCGAGAAUCAGUCGAUUAGGAAGUAUCCCCACUUCAUGGCUCGAUUGUUCAUGCCCACUCCUUGCCUAAAUUCAAAAUUUCGGGACGAAAUUCCCUCUAACGGGGGGAUGAUGUGACAACCGUCAAUUUUCGGUCAAGUCAAAGUCAACUAAAGUCAACAAGUCAAACCGGUCAACUGAAUUUGCCCGUGAGUAUUAGAGUUUACGUUAUGUAAUUUCUAAACAACUCGCUAUUCUAAUGAGAGAUCAUAAAUCGAAAAGUGCGUACAUCUAGAUCUCCUUAACCUAAAACUGUGGUACGUGGCGAGCCAAACCGAUAAAACAAUGUUGCAUACUCAUCGGGAGUAUGCAAGAUCCUUAAACAAGGCUUAACGGGGUUUACGGACCUUGCACUGCGAAGCCGGACACUCACAUUCGUCACACACAAAACCGCUCUCAAUCGUUUUCACUCCAUCUCUUCUUAUCGAGAAUUUCUCCCAAAUCUCUCCAAGAAUGUCAAAUCUCUCCCAAAUCUCUCUAAGUAUGUGAAAUCUCUCCCAAAUCUCUCAUUGUAUGAGAAACCUCUCCAAGAAUGUCAAAUCUCUCCCAAAUCUCUCUAAGUAUGUGAAAUCUCUCCCAAAUCUCUCUUUGUAUGAAAAAUCUCUCCAAGAAUGUCAAAUCUCUCCCAAAUCUCUCUAAGUAUGUGGAAUCUCUCUCAAAAUCUCUCUCAACUUUCUAUAAUCACUCGGGGCCGAUCCUUGAAUUUGGCGAAAACAGCCCAAAAGCGGAAGUCUACGCGAAAAACGGACUUAAGGAUCCGAAACCCCUCUUAGGACCUGAAAGUCCUCUUAGGAAUUGAACCCUUCUGAGCCGAAGGCUGCUGAACCGAACCCGAAAGGUCCUCUNUCGGGCCCGAACCUCGCCUACACACCCGAACCCGAACAUUCGGCACAUUUCGGGUCUGAUCACUUUCUCCUCUGAAGACCGAAGACCGAGCCCUCGCCCCUUCGCUUCACGCCUAGCAGCCUUAGGGACCGAACCCAACCUCAGGAGGACCGAGCCUUGGCCAAGACCGAGAGGUCUCGCUGGGAAGCCUCUUUUCUCCCGGUUUUCGACUAAAUUUGCGUUUUAGGCCCGUUUUUAAUUGUUUGAACAUGGGAUUUUCACCCAAAACUUUAUUUUAACAUAUAAGGACCCUUAAUUAUUAAUUAAUCAUGUUUUAAACAUAAAACCUUAUCCAAAAGAGUGGGUGAAGUACAAAGGAGGAGUGUUGACUUUCCUUUAUUCUAUGACACAAGCAACCACUCCCAAACCCACUCCAUGUCACUAUUCACCACCAGCCCAUCCCUAGUCACUUAAUAAGUCCUUUCUCAUUAUUUUCAACCACUCUCACGUUCUUAGGGCUGGAACAUCCACCCUCUCUCCUAACACUUCAUUCAUUCUCUCAUUUUUUCACCAAAAACCACACUCCAAACUCUCUCAUCCUUCUCUCUCAAAUUCGAGAACUUCAAGGCAUACUCCAAGACUUUUCUCCUACGAUUAGUAAGUAUCAUCAUCUUUCUUAUGAUUAUUACACAUCCUCCUACUCAAAAUCAUAGAUUGCUUACAUAAACAUCAUCACAUUCUUGUUAGAUCUUCGAAUCUUCAAGUGAUUCUUCAAGUGUUAUUGGGUUGAACACUUCUCUUCUUCAACACUUACCUACUGAAACCAAUCAAGGUGAGUUCAUACCCCUACAUUUUCAUGUUUUCUCAAGUUUUUAGGGGGAGAAUACAAGUAAAACAACAAGAACAAAACUAAACUUCUCUAACAGCCUUCAUCAAAAAAGUUGGACUCCAUUCACAGACUAUUUGGGACAACUUAAACAUUUUUGUGUACAAAACUGUUUGAGGUGUAAGUAGUUCCAGUUCUUAGCUUUAAAAUGACGACUUGCACAUCUCCAUACGUUUUUUCUACAAUUUAUGGUGAUUUUUAUAAAACUGUCUAUCAUCUCAAACACCAAUCCGGACCAGCCUGUGAUUAUGGACUUGGUCACACAAGUUAGAGGUCCCUAAAAAUUAUGGAAAAAUUUAUGAACCAACUAGACUCCUUUUCAAAACUCUCAGAAGUUACAGAACUUGAUUUGGACAUUUUAUGAUUUUUAUACAAAUUUUCCAAUAAGAGCUACAGAAAAUGUUAUAAAUAGAAAAACACUAUAAAUUUCAUUUCACCUUGUAACAUGUUGAGCAAGGUAUAUAUAUAUCAUUAUAUGAUUAUGUGUUAUUGUAGUAUGUGACAUUUUUGUAUUCAUAUCUAGAUAUACACCAGUUAACAAAUGAAUUUUCACUAGAUAAUACAUAGAAAUAACCAAGUGUUAUAAUUAAAGUACACCCAUUACAUACAAAUGUAUUAUUAAACUAUGUUAAGUAUAGUUUAUGUACUUUACUAUUUCUACCCUUGUUUUGAUAAACUAUAAUAGGUAUAGUUUAUGAUACUUUACAAAAUACAAAUAUAUUUUCAGAAGGGUACAUUUAUAUAAGAGGGAACUUUCAUUACGUUAAGUGUAAAAUUCAUUACAAAAGCGUUUUCAUAAAAUAGUUUUUUUAUACAUUACAAACGUUUUGGAUAAACUAUAAUAGGUAUAGCUUAUGUAUCAUUUACUUCUCAAACUUAUAUACCAAAGGUUUUCAGUUUAGUUCACGUAAAUCUGUUAAUGAAUAAAUUUGUGAGUCAUUCGCUUCGGGUUACUUCCAAAGUAACCAAUUCAAAAAGUCCUGUAAAUCGUAACCAGAGUCUCUUGUAGGGAGAACGUGAUAGUUGUGUAUAGAUCUAUAUUGGGCUUGACAAACCCACACCAGAGCUGCUUGUAACAGCUAGCCCGACAGGUCUGAGGUGACAAGUGUCAUAACAGUUCCGACGCCUGAAGAACGUCGUAAUUACGAGGCCGUCAAAGUCAAGUAUGGUUAUGAUAGCUCACAUGUGGUAUUAACAAAUCAUAAGAUUAAUGGGUUCUAACUUUAAUUUAGCGAGUUAUGUCGAUUUAGCUCACUAAAAUUACUUUAAGCAUGGAAAAAUACUUGUAUGUCUUCAUAUCAAAAAGGGUUUUAUGUCAAUUUAAAAUCACUUUUUAUAUCAAUAAUUACAGAUAUUAUGGUAUAUUUUCAGACUUGGUAUUUAAGACCACACAUCAUUCAUUACGGGAUUUUUCUCAAAUCUUAAAGGGGUUUUAUGUCAAUUUAAAACCACAAUUAUAUCUUUAAGCAUGACAAAAUACUUAUUCAUUUUGGUCCUGGUAUUUAGGACUACAUGACUUUUAUAAGGAAAAUAUUGGAUUUUUCUUGGUGAUAUACAUCUUCUUACAAAGAUCGAUUUUCAAACUCUUACUAUCAAAAGCUUAUGAACUCACCAACCUUUGUGUUGACACUUUUUUAAAACUACUUGUAUUCUCAGGAAUUCAGUGAAUCAGGAAAUCAACUACGUUUUGAGGAUGGGACGAUAAAUCGUCAAAUAGUUCAUUUUGAAUCAUAAUCUAAUUGAUUCGAAUCAUGUAAACAUAUACUUUGGUGUAACUUUUUCAAUUAUAUUUAUGAUGGUUGUAUUUAUUUUGAGCACUAUUAUACUCGUUGUUGUGAUACUCUACAUGAAGUCCUCCACCCCCGGAUGUUUCCACCACCCUUGGUUUGGGGGUGUGACAAUAGGAGAGUUGCUGGAGCAAGUUGUGAGUUUGAAGUGAUGUGUGCAUUGGUUUGUGUGAUGUGGAUAAGGUGGCAAGUGAGAGGGUGACGCAUGGAAGGGAAGUGGGCACACUUGACCCACUUGUGGGGUAAUUAUCCUCUUAAGGGCUCAAGAGCCCACAAAGUUAUAGCCUCGAGUGGCUAGAAUGUGUUAUGUGUGGUAUAUUGGGGAACUUACUAAGCUUCAUGCUUACUGUGUUAUGUGUUAUGAGUUUCAGGUGUUCUCAGGAUCAUGGGACGGCACCGGCUCGAUUGUACACACCAGAGGAAGAGUUAUGUUUUGAGGAUCCUGGUUUAUUAUGCAAUUGAAUAUGGACUAAUGUUUUGUAAAUUAAACAGAAAUGAGAUUUCUACGAAAAGUGUUUUAAGAAUUAAAUGAUUAUUUUAAAUGAAAAUUGCUUUUGAAAUUUACGGUGUUACAAAUUGGUAUCAGAACCUUGGUUUUAGGGAUUCGGAUGCACCUUUGGGUAAAUCUGGACUCAAACUGAGGAAUUGAGAAAAAAAUUUCAAAGAAAUGAUUUUUCUAAAGCGAAUAAGAGUUCAAAGAGAAAACAAGAAAGAAUAGUGUGUACAAUUAGCUAGAGCCCAAACGGUGAUUUCCCAAAAUACCCUUACUUUUGUGUAAUGAGAUAUUUAUGAUACAUUUUAUGAGAUAUUAUGCAUGCUAGAGACAGGCUAGGUAUUUCAUAUCUUAGGACUAGAGUGGCCUGAUUUGUGAUGCCUUAGCCUAAGAGUUGCUAUGGUAUGUGAUGUGCUUUUGAGUAUGAGAUGAGUGAGAGUAUUCAGCAUGAAUCCUUUAGGGGAUUCGAGUAGAGGAGUAAUCUAGAAGAGGUAUCUAUAUGAGCAUAUGAGGAGUCUACCGAGAGGGUAGCCAGAGGCCAUGUGGGGCGAAGAUGUUAGAGUUCGGUGAUAUCCUUCGAGUAUGAGGAAAGUGAGUGGAUAAUAACCUAAGGAGGUUUUACGUGCUGAAGGAGAUGCUACGAUGCCUGAAUGAUGCUUGCUUCGUGCUUUGUGGAGCUCUCGAUGAUGGGAGUCAGCUACUAAGUGAAUAUGACGAUAUUCAGGAGGUAGAUGGUUGGCAUCUUUAGGAGUUCUUCAGCAACUGAUGGUGGAGAAGUUGUAGCACCAAGGAAGAGCGUAGGUAGUGACCUUAGCUAGAUGAGUGCGUUGGCAAAGUAUAGCAUUUCGCUGAGGAGCGAGCACGUGUGACGGAAUUGGUGAACGAGAAGGUUGAGCAGCUACUUAGGAGCUCUAGGAUGGUCCGCGUGGAAAGUAUGGGUAGAUGUGGUAGGUAGUAUGGGCCCGUACUACCAAAAGCAAAGGACCCAUACUCGAUACAGGGAGUAUUCUAAAGGUUCUAAGUAGCAGAUUGAGGAGUGAUGUUAUGGUUCGAGUACCAUACAUCGUAGCAGAUUGAGGACUGAUGUCAUGGUUCGAGUACCAUACAUCGUAGCAGAUUGAGGAGUGAUGUCAUGGUUCGAGUACCAUACAUCAUAGUAGAUUGAGUAGUGAUGUUAUGGUUCGAGUACCACACAUCGUAGCAGAUUGAGGAGUGAUGUUAUGGUUCGAGUACCAUACAUCGUAGCAGAUUGAGGAGUGAUGUUAUGGUUCGAGUACCAUACAUCGUAGCAUAUUGAGGAGUGAUGUCAUGGUUCGAGUACCAUACAUCGUAGCAGAUUGAGGAGUGAUGUUAUGGUUCGAGUACCAUACAUCGUAGCAGAUUGAGGAGUGAUUUCAUGGUUCGAAUACCAUGCAUGAUAGCGGAUUGAGAAGUGACGUCAUGGGCUGAGUACCAUGGGUCGUAGCAAAUGAUGCUCGUGGUUCUCCGGUUAUCCGGUCAUGAUUGAUUAGGAGGAGAUUGGACGCGAUGGGGUUUUAGGCCUGAGGGCCAUGAUUGAGUCCGAAGAGGCAUCCCUUGUGUGGGAGGUCGAGAGAAUUUCAAAGUAUUUUGGUGAGAUGUUAGAUGUAGUUGCCAGACUCCAGGAUAAGUAGAGUUGGUGUUUAUGGGGGAUUGCAGGCUAAGUUGAACAAUCAGCCACUAGAGGAGAUGUCACAUGCUGUGACCUAAGUGGUGACGUUUAUGUUCUUGUGGGAAACAUGGGAGGCGUGAGAUUUCAGUUUUGGGUUUAGGAGUAAACCCUGCGGGUUGACAUUGAUGACGAUUUUCCACCAGAGUAUCAAGCAACAUGUUGCCGCGAGGUAAUGAUUUACCAUGAGCAGGUAGUCAGUUGGGACUGAGAUGGUGAAUGACUAUGUUGCACCCUAUUUGAGUAUAGUAGGGCAUAUGGUAUCGGUAUCAGCGAGUAAUCCAGACGAGUAUAUCAGGCGAUGGUUCUUCUGUCUAAGAUGGGUAUGGAGUAUGGGAAUGGAGUCCUUGUUCUUGUGAUGAACCAUGUGUUGGAAUGUUGGUUGGGAAGUAGAGGCCGAAGAGUCUGAUGAUUUAUUGAUCCAGUCUAAGAGUCGGGGAUAUUAAUGGACGGUUGAGAUGUUCGGUAUUGGGAUGGUAUGAGACUGGAACGACUAGAGACAGUCGUGAUGGGAAGUUCCUGUGGAGCUCAUCAGAGAUUUAGAGUAUUUAAGGUUGCUUGAUCUCUUUAAUGGAGGUCGUCGGGCGUUGCGUAGCACCUUCCAGGAGUAGGUGCGAUGUCGAUAGUGGAAACAAUCUGUGGGAUGGAUGGUUUGUGCGUCAAUUGAUGAUGGUUCGGACCCCAAGUGGGGAAGAACCGGGUAUCUUAUUGAAGGGAGCAGAGAUUUGUUAAAAGAGUGGUUAGGAGGUGGGAUUUAGAGACCUGCGGUGCGGAUUCAUGAUACGAGGGUUAUUGGUGAUCGAGGAGAGGUGCAGAGCGAGAUAAUGCAUGUGGUACGUGUCUGAGAAAGAAUGAGUGUCUCGAUGGCAGGUGGUCAAUGGUAAGGAACCUGGUAGUGGCCAGGGCCGUUCCAAGUGGAAGGCUCGUAAGGAUGGUGUGCGCAGUUGAGAACUUCUGAGUCAAAGUAUGGAUUGUGUAUGCCCUUUGGGGUAGAUAGAAGAUGAUCGAGCAACCAACUUCCGGGCCGAUAUGUGUUUUCUUGUAAGGGUUUGAGCAAUAAAGGGAAGAAUGUCGGAAGAUCAUUAGCGUGUUCUGAAGAUUUAGCGAUUUCUCUGUGUUCUAAUGGAGUGUUUGGAUACACCGAAGUUGCGCGUUGGGUAAAAUGAAGAACUAAUUAUUAGGUUCAGAGGGAAUGUAUUGUUGUAUCUGCAUGAUGCUGAGAGUAGGAGAUUAGUGGUUGAGGCAGGACAUUGUGAUGUUCUGUAAUAGUGUUCUGAGGAAUCCGAGUAUAAUGCCCCGACUGCCAAAUUAAUUUUUUGUGUUCAUGUAUGCAAGUAGGGCAUAGAGUAUUUGUGUUUCCAGUGGGAUACUUCGGGCAUUUUCGUCAAGAGGGAUCAUUUAGGAAUGAAGUUUGCAACGGGAAAAAGUGUUUUGGUUAUGUCGGUUGUUGUCAGAUAUAAGGAUGUCGGAUUUAAGUGAGUGUGGGCAUCUAUCUAUGAUUAGUCCACAGAGCAUGAGUCAGAGGGAGGUUGUUGUGAAGCUAUGGGGAGCAGUAGUAUUCACUAGUCAGAGGGAGGUUGUUGUGAUGCUACGGAGAGUCGUAGUACUCACUAGUCAGAGGGAGGUUGUUGUGAUGCUACGGGGAGCCGUAGUACCCACUAGUCGGAGGGGGUUGUGAUACUGCGGGGGGUCGUAGUACUCACUAGUCAGNUUGUGAUGCUACGGGGAUCCGUACUACUCACUAGUCAGAGGUAGGUUGUUGUGAUGCUACGGGGAGCUGUAGUACACACUAGUCAGAGGGAGGUUGUUGUGAUGCUACGAGGAGCCGUAGUACUCACUAGUCAGAGGGAGGUUGUUGUGAUGCUACGGGGAGCCGUAGUACCCACUAGUCGGAGGGUGUUGUGACGCUGCGGGGAGUCGUAGUACUCGCUAGCCAGAGGGAGGUGGUUGAAAUGAUGUAGAGAGUUGUAGUAUUCUCUAGUCAGCGAGAGUUAGUUAUGAGGGAGUGCUCUUUGAUCAGAGUGACGCAGAAAGGGUUUAGGCUUGGGUAGCCCUAAUGGUUGAGUUUUGGGAGCAUGGUGGUUGAACCAAGGGAGAGACUAGGGUCUGCGUCUCUGUCGGGAAUCAUUAUUUUUUUAUUGAGUUGUGUUUGUCGCAACAUGAGGGAAUUGGAAAAGUGAUAUUCGUGCAGGGCGCAGGUUGAGUCAUAUGAUGAGUGUUUCUUUGGGUUGCGAGGUUCCGACUUUGGGACGGACCAAACUCUCGAGUUGAGUUUGGCAUUGAUGGUAUGUGGGUGAGAGAGAUGAGAUUCUGGAAUUUUGAGGUGAAUUCGGGGAUGAAGGGCAUUGUUGUCAUUGGAUGUCCUAAACCUUUAUAGGUCAGCACUCGAGUGCGGGAGAUACUGCGAGAUGCGCGGCGCUAUGUGCAGUAGACAUCGAAAGUCAGGGUUGAGUCGAUCCUCGGUCGGAUUAUAGUGUUUGUUUGAGGUAAAGAGGAUUUCGUGACUUAAGUGUCACUAGGCCGAGAUAGUCGAGACGAGAAGGAAGUUAGUGAGUCAUGUUGGAGCAUUUUAUGGUGAUGUAUGAGGACACUUCCGAGCAAGCAUGGUUAUUUCUUUUGUGUCCGAGGGCGGAGUGGUGAGGAUUCUUUGUUCGGAUGGUUUCUGAUAGCAGUUUAGUAGAUGUGCCCCAAUGGAGUGUGAACCCUUUUAUCUCGUGGGGCGUGAUUCAGAUGAUUUAGCAUGAUCAGUUAAGGAGCGAAAGCUGGUGGUUGGAUGUGGUCCUGCAAGAAUUAGAGAGUCAGUGAUGUAAUUAGGGUUGAUAUUCGAGGAGCGAAUAUCAUGGUGAUCGCUCGAGUCGGUGGUUUGGCGGGGGGUCAGGCCACUAGAGUUCCAGGCAUUGGGAAGAAGUAUUUUAGUGGCAAAAGAGUUGGUUUAAACUCUGGUUUUGGAAGUUCUACUUGGCUUCGGGUGUCCACGGAGAAAGAUAUCGGUGUAGUAUGAAGAUCAUUUCGGUAGUGCCCUUGGGUUGAUGAUUUCAAUCUAUAAGUGGCUAAGGAGUGAUUUCGAGGGCGAAAUCUAAUUCAAGUGGGGGACAAUUGUAACAUCUGGAUAUCCAGGCAUGGAAUUUUGAGUAUUUUAUUAUGGGAUAUGAAGAGACUCGGUGAGUUGAUGCCUUAACUCAUCGAGUAGGAUCGUGACUUGGUGACCUGUUUAAUGAAGGAACUCGACGAGUCAGGUAUCUAGACUCGCCGAGUCAGUGCUGUUAAGGAAAACCCAAAUUUUCCGGGUUUGAGACCUAUUUAAAGGACCUUAUAGCCCUCUUGUGCAGCUACCAGUCCAGAGAGAGAUACCCUAGAGAGCUGGAGCGAAGAGUGAGAGAGAUAAAGCCAUUUUAAGCAUUCAUGGUGUGAUUUUGCAAGGGAGAAGUCAUUUCCAGCAAAGGGAGGUCAAGGGAUUUGUUGAUUUAGAGUUCCUGAGCUCGUAUCUUCAGUGUAGAGGUAUAAAAUCGAUUUCCCUUUUCUGUUUUGCGUGAGAUUGGUGAUUUUAGGGUUUUCUACACCUUCAAAUGGCUUGUAGUGAUGAGUAUAGGGUCCCUUUGUGUGAGAGAUCCCAAAUCUGGACCCAUAGAGGUGCAUAGGGCCUUAUUUUAUAUGCUUUAUGUUGGUUCAUUGAGAGAAUGAGACUUUGAUGCCAUUCUUGGAGCCAUUUCUCCAAGGAAAGCCUUGUGAGCUUUGCAUGUAUGUCAAGCCUCGAACUUUACGUGGUUAUUGGUCGUAGGGAAGUCAGAUCUAUGGAUUAGAGGACAUAUAUGACCUCAGAAGGUCAAAUGAGUGUUGACAUGGGAGCAACUCGCCGAGUGCAUCGGGAGACUCAACGAGUCGAGUCGGGUUUCACCGCGAUACGAAUCCAGUGGAAACCCGUCGAGUGGAAGGUUCACUCGAUGAGUCGAGUGAGGCCUUAGAAGAGUCAGAAGACACACAUGGACUCGCCGACUCACCCUUGUGUACUCGACGAGUCUGAUCAGAGUUGACCGUUGAGUUGAGUUGACUUUUGUUGACUUUUAGGGUUUGGUCAACAAUUGGUCUUGUGGACCAUUUGAAGGGUAAAAUGGUCUUUUAGCCUUCUUAGAGGACAUGGAAGGGAUUAGUCUAGCCUGGAGAGCUGUUAUUGAUUGAGAUAAUUGUUCAUGUGUUUAGGCAGAGGCUAGAUCAGUGUAUACGCGUGCGAGAUUACCAGAGACAUCCGAGGUGAGUCUCAUCACUAUACUUUACCUUAAGUGGUAAUUAGAGUUUUAUGAUAGAGUAUCUUGUGUGCUAUGUAUGUGAUGUGUUGCACUACAUUAUUUCUAUGUGAUUUAUGUUGUGUGUAUUCCAGAGCUUGACAGAGUUAGGACCGGAAGGUCCACAGAGUUAGAAUCGGAAGGUUCACAAAGUUAGGACCAGAGGCCACAGAGUUAGGGCUCAAGGGCCCAUAGAGUUAUAGCCUCGAGUGGCUAGAAUGUGUUAUGUGUGGUAUUUUGGGGAACUCACUAAGCUUCGUCCUUACCGUGUUAUAUGUUUCAGGUGUUCUCAGGAUCACGAGACGGCACCGGAUCGAUUGUACACACCAGAGGAAGAGUUAUGUUUCGAGGAUCCUGGUUUAUUAUGCAAUUGAAUAUGGAGUUAUGUUUUGUAAAUUAAACAGAAAUAAGAUUUCUAUGAAAAGUGUUUUAAAAAUUAAACAAUUAUUUUAAAGGAAUUUUUUUUUUUGAAAUUUACGGUGUUACACAUAUGGAGAUGUUCAAGUAGUCAUUUUAACGGUAUAAACCUGAACUAUUUUCAUAUUAAACAGUUUUGAAAAAUAUUAAGUUUAAGUGGGGUAAAACAGUUCGUGAACAAGUCACAACUUUUCUGUUGUAAGCUGUCAGGUUAAGUUUCAAAUAUGCUUUAGUGUUUUAACUUGUAUCCUCCCCCUGAAAACUAAAGAAAACUAGAAAAUGUAGGGGUAUGAACUCACCUUUAGUGAUUCUUGGAAGAGUGGAAGGUCAAGACGAGGAGUAUCAAGUCAAGAACAUUUGAUGAACACGUAAAAGCUUGAAUGAUCCUAAGAACGAUUCUUUGGCGUUAGAGUGUGUGUAGAUGAUUCAAGGAUGUUAUGAAAAUAUGGAAUAACACUUGAGUUUAGAGGAAAUACUUACCAAAAAGUGAAGUAAUAGCCCAAGAACACUUCCAAAAGUGGUUGGAAGUUGAGAGAAACUAAGCUUUCUUUGUGAGGUAAGAAAGGUGUAAAAGUGUGGGAAUGAUCAAGUGAAUCAAGAAAUCCUCCAGGGAUUUCUUUAUAUAGGAGAGUUGCUGGAGCAAGUUGUGAGUUUGAAGUGAUGUGAUCAUUGGUUUGUGUGAUGUGGAUAAGGUGGCAAGUGAGAGGGUGACACAUGGAAGGGAAGUGGGCACAGUUCACCCACUUGUGGGGUAAUUAUCCUCUUAAUAUAAAAUAAUGAUUUUAAAUUAAUAAAUCCUUGAGAAAUAAAUAAAAUAUGAGUUGUGGGAGUUUCAAAUAGUAAAAAUAUGAAUUUGGUUAAAAAAUACCGUAAAAAAGGGCUUAGGAGGCGAAAGUAGUCGAAAACCGGGAGAAGGAAGCGAACCUGCGAGGGGUUCAGUGCUUCAGGCUAAGGACCGAGAGUGGCACUAGGAGGGACCGAAGGUAGGAGAAGGAACCGAAGGUGGAGGCUUGGGCCUGAAGGGUUCGAUUCGCAGGGUUCGGUCCGAAGGGUGGCUUCACUUCUAACAAGUUCGCCUCUGAAAACUUCGGUCCUUAUGAGAGGUUCGGCCCUGAGAGGUUCCCUCUAAGAGGGUUCGGUUCCUAAGAGGGUUUCGGCCCUAAAUUGCCGUUUUUCAAUAUAUCUUCUCGUUUGGAGUGAUUUUUGGCCAUGUUAAGGUUCGAGAUGACCCAGAUGACUAUAAAAAGUUGAGAGAGAUUUUGAGAGAGAUUUGAGAGAGAUUCCCUUUUAGCCAUUUUGUUGAAUAAUUUUGCAAUGCAAGCUCCGUGGACCCCGUUAUACUUCGUUUAUGAUUAUUUGAACUCCCCAAAAGGGUUCAUAGAUGUGUUUUGAUGCGUUUAACUCCCUUCUUAGGGUUUCACUUUGAUAAACACAUAGAUUUACCGAUACACUCGAAUUCUUGACACAUAAUUGUACGUUUUCAUAGAAUAACUUUUAAUCAUACAAGUAUUAUACAAGAUUGACCGGUUCGACUUGUUCACUUGACUUUGACUUGUUGACUUUGAAUUUGACUUGGAUUUACCGGCUGUCACAUUGUGUGAUUUUAAUUCCGCGUGUUAUCCACAUUACUUCCUAAAAAUGGUCAUUAGAACUUGACAAAUGGCGUCAUAUUCGUUCGGUGUCUUGAAAAGUAUCAUAUGGUUUUCUUUAAUAAGUGGUAUCAACGCUAUGGUAGGUGUUCUAUUGAUUAAAGAUGACAUCUCACAAAUUCCAUUUGGAGAAGUUCAAUGGUUCGAAUGAUUUCACUUGAUGGAAGGUAAAUAUGAAGGCUCUUUUGGUUCAACAAGGACGUGCAACGAAACUGGAGGUAGAAGCGAAAUUACCAAAGGACAUUGCGACUAAAAGGAAGGUGGAUAUUCUGGCAAGAGCGUAUAAUGUUGUUCUGUUGAGUUUGACAAACAAAGUAAUGAGAAAGUUUAUGGAUCAAACAAGUGCAUUUGGGCUUUAGGAGAAGUUGUGUAACAAGUAUCAAAAUAAUUUUUUGACAAACAGGUUGUAUCAGAAGCAAUGUUGUUAUCCUCUUAUGAUGUCGUAAAGCACCCAAGUGACGGAUCAUCUGGAUAACUUCAACAUGAUCAUCUUGGAUUUAUAAGGUGUGAAUGUAAGGAUUGAAGGUGUGAAUGUAAAGAUUGUUACGACUCAUUAGAUUAAAAAAUUUCAAAAAAAUAUGAGGAUUUAAAUGCACUACAAAAAAAUUAUAUACUGGAUUUUUUAAUCCUUUCAUGAAAAUAGAUAAGGUUUUUCUAAGUGUAAAACCUUAGAUAAGAAUUUCAAAAAAUAUAAGGGUGUUUGUGCACUAAAAAAUAAUAUAAUGCUUUUUUUAAGCAUUUUAUGAAAAUACAUUGGAUUUUUAUGAGGUUUUCCAUAUAUAUAUAUAUAUAUANNNNNNNNNNNNNNNNNNNNNNNNNNNNNNNUAUCUAUUCUAUAACCAUGUAACCUAAUCAUGACCAUUGGAAUAGUGAAAAAAAAAUCAUUCUUGAAAGAAUAUAACUACAUUUAUUAUUUAUUUUUUAAGAAUUCGAAUUUCAAAUCUAUCUAAAGGAUAAUAUGGACAUUUUGUAUAUACUUAAUUUAGGAAACAAAAUAAUCAAAUCCGGAUUUAUAGAUGUUUAUUUAUUUUUAUUUUUUAUUUUUGUAAAAACACAAACAUUAUAGGAGAAAUGUUUUUGAAAAAAGUACAUAUUCUUGACAGAAUGAGUUCUCAUUCUUAAAAUAAUAGGAUUUUUUUUAGAGUAAGGCAUUCAUAAAGAAAUAUCAACAAUAACACUUUUCAUGAUUCAAUGAAUACAGUAUAAUCCUUGAAUAUUUCUAAAAUCGUGAAAAAAAUUAUAUGUUAUAAAAAAUAAAACAUAAAUUACAAUUGUACAAGUGACAUUCUCAUGAAAAAUGAUAAAACGAAAGAAAUAAAACAUGAAAAAAGAGACGACAUUUUAGUAAGAACGGAAAAAAUUACGUUUACAAAUAUGUUAUUUUUGAAAAUAUACGAAAAAUAGAGACAUUCUAAAAAUAAUACAUUCAUUCUUUCAAGAAUAACCAUCAUCUUGAAAAUGCCUACCAACGAGCAUAGUUGACUCCGUUUUUGAGGAAGAUGAUCGGACCAAGGAGAAGUUGAUCUUUGAUAGUGAAAUUGAAUAGAAUAGCCUCACAAAUCAAAUGUUUCAAGGUGGAGAAGCGGUGGAGGGCCAAGCCGAAGCUUGUUUCGAAAGAACUCAAACUGACGCCGAGGAAGGCUUUUAGUGAAAAUAUCGGAAACUUAAAGUUUGGAUGGUAUGAAAUUAGUGUAGAGUUUUCCCGAAGCAACAAGUUCAUGGACAAAGUGGUAAUCUAAUUCAAUGUGCUUCAUUCUCUUGUGAGCGACGGGAUACUGAGUUAAGAAGAGAGCACCCUGAUUGUCACAUAGGAGAGUAGGUCGGACUGCGAGAAGUGUUGAGUAGUUGGAGCAUUGAGGAACUGGCUAACUUGAUUAAAUGCAUAUGAGAUAUCCGGUCUCGUGAUGGUAAGAUAUUGCAAUGCCCUUACAAUCGACCGGUACUGGGUCGGAUCCGAAUAUGGGUCACCGGAUGAUGAGAUAGAAGUUGUUGGCGAAAAGGGAGUGGGUGCCGGUUUUGCAUCAAGCAUCCGAGCUCUUUCAAGAACAUCUUUUGCAUAUUUAGUUUAGCUAAGGAGCAAACCAUCGUUUAUAUACGUGACUUCAAGACCAAGGAAGUAAUUGAGCUUUACCAAGUCUUUAAUAGCAAAUUGAGUGUGAAGUUGAGUGAUGAAUGAUUGGAUCACCCCAUCCUGAUUUCCGGUCAAAAUUAAGUCAUCGACAUAUACCAAAAGAUACAUGAUACACUCGCCACAUUUGAAGAUAAAGAGAGAAGUAUCAGCCUUGCUACAAGAGAAUCCAUUGGAAAUUAAAAACGUGCUUAGUCGUUGAAACCAAGCCCGAGGGGCUUGUUUGAGGCCUUAAAGAGCUUCGUUUAAUCGGCACACAUGAUUAGGAUAGUGAGGAUUAACAAACCCAGGAGGUUGCUCCAUGAAUAAACACUCCUGAAGCUGCCCAUGCAAAAAUGAGUUGUUAACAUCAAGCUGAUGUAAGGUCCAUUUGUGACGAACAGCGAGAGAUAGAAUGACCCGACUGCUGGAAGCCUUAACCAUUGGGCUAAAAGUGUGGGAGUAGUCGAGACUAGGAGUUUGACUAAACCCUUGAGCGACAAGGCGAGCUUUCUGUCGCUCAAUGGUGCCUUCAAAAUGGAACUUUGUGCAAAACAACCAUUUGGAUCCCACCACUUGCUGAUUUAAGAGUCAAGGAACAAGGCACCAAGUGUUAUUUUUGUGAAGAGCAUCAAGUUCACGUUUCAUCGCCUCAACCCAUUGAGAUUGUUUUAGUGCAGUGUGCACAUUCUUUGGGUCACUCGAGGCAAGUAAAGCAUUGUGUAAUGGAUGUUGUGUGAGAGUGGAGAGGUCAGCAAAGUGACGAGGCUUGAAAAUGUCGGCCUUGGCACGAGUGGUCAUAGGAUGGGUAGAUAGAGAAGGUGGGGGAGUUGGCGGUACAGGAAUAGGAGUGGUAGGAGUCACAGACUGUUGAGAGAGGGGGGAUGAUGGGCUUAGGAGGAUUCAAUGGUUGGGCUAGAGGUGGGGAUCGAGAUCGGGCUUUGGGGUGGUCUUAGAUUAGGGUUUGGAGUGAUUUUGUCAGGGAAAAAUGUGAAUGGUGAUGAGUUUUCAGUAUUCGUCGGUUGCAUGGGGGUGAUGGGAGUGAUUGGGCGUGGCAGGAAUGGAUGAGGGUGGUAUAGGAAUGAGCAAAUGUCUAGAUUUGAGAUAGAGCUGGGUGUAGUAUUGUCCCUAAAUGGGAAGACAUGUUCAUCAAAUCAGGCAUGUCGGGAAACAUAUAGCCGAGAUAUGGCAGGAUCAAGGCACCAAUAGCCUUUAUACAUGGGCCUAUAUCCAAUAAAAACACACGGUAUACUACGUGGUGCAAGUUUGUUUUCCGAGCAAUCAUGUAGGUAAGGAAGGACCUAACACCCAAAGGCCCGAAAUGUUGAGUAAUUUUGUGGUGUGGAAUGUACAAUCUCAAAUGGAGAUUUCCCAUCAAGAACUUUAGUGGGCAGUCUGUUAAUGAUGAAGACGGCCAAUGAAAAGGCAUAAAACCAAUAAGUUGAGGGUAGGUGGGCAUUAAACAUCAUUGCUAAAUCCAUUUCAACGAUGUGACGGUGUUUUCGUUCGGCCCGCCCAUUUUGUUGCGAAGUAUACGGGCACAAGAACCGAUGUAGGGUGCCAUUUUCUUCAAACGUUUAUGUAACAACCCGAAAUUUUAAUUGUAUUAAACUCCGCAAUUAAGAAAUCCAAAAGUUAGCCAAAUUUAUCUCAAAAUAUUUUUGGCUGGAUUUAAGCCCAUUGGAAUAUUUUAAAUAAUAUUCGUCAAGCGAACCAAAAAUAAGGAAGUAUAAUUUAAAGUUACUGGCUUUAACGUAAGUCGCGAAACUCCAAAAAUUUGGAGUUUACGGGAGUAAACUCAGAGUUUAGACCGUAAACCCCAAUGACUAUAUAUAUGGCACUUAGCCAUUUUUCUUCAUUUCUUCCAUUUCAAGCUAGAGAAAACCCAAUUUCUCUCCCAAGGAUCGUCAAGAUUUUGUCCCCAACACUCGUAUAUGUAAGUUCUUCUAUCCUAGCGUACAUUAAAGCUUUUUAUACUUCCAUAUGUCAAGAAAUCAUCCAAGAAACACCAAGAACAAGGUGUUUACGGUCCAAGGUGUUCUUGGACAGUAAACCCUAAAAUGGGUUUCAAAGUGUGCCUUGGUUCAUUCUAAUCCUUGACAACUAGCAUAGAUCCUUUCCUUGAUGAUUUUAGCACUCGAAAAUCAUCAUUUCCCCAUGUUCAUGUGAGUUUACGUUUGGGGAUCUCCCAAAACCGUAAACACCUCCCAAAGGGUGUUUUGAUGCCCUUAACACCUUAUGUGGCUUGUUUAUGGGACUAGAACCUUGCAUUCUUAACCUAGAACCACCAAAUCACAAGAAAAAUUGACAAACAUGAGUUUAGGGCUGUAAACCCAUGUGUUUACGACCAUAAACUCCCCAAGGAGUGGUUCAAAAACCGUAAACUCCAUAAAGUGUCCAUUUAGAGCCCUAGUCACUUCCAUAGCCCUUGAUUCGAGUCUAGCAUAAUUCCUUGAGUGAGAUAAGACCUUUAAACAUCCCAUGGCAAAACUACCAUGAGUUUACGGCCGUAAACUCAUGGGGGUUAUGGUCUAGAAACCGUAAACACCCCUAAGGGCCACCAUUUGAGGAGUAAACUCUAAUGUGAGGCCAUACUCUCUUUAUAUGAAACCCUUGGUACUCCUAGCACUUGUAGCAAAGUGUUUCCAUGCUUUAGGAUGACCUUAAUUGCAUAAUUGGUUGUUAAAUGACUAAUUAGAUACUUAAAUGUAUCAUUACAUGUCAAAUAGGAUUCGCGUGUGUGGUCAAGUCCUCACUUGACACUUAGCAUCCUAUAUCGUUCGUUCAUCCGAAUCACCCACGUCAGGUGAGUUCAUACCCCCGAAUUAACCUUUUAAAUGAUUUUAAAUGCUUUUAUGGGGGGAUACAAGUUGAACUAUAGAGUUAUUAUAUCAAUCACAUGUGAUUAAUAACUGUAUUGCAAAUGGAUUUUUACAUGUUAAACUGCUUCAUCCAACAAAAGGUUUUCCAAUAUCAUUUUCAAAUCUUGUUUAAAGUAUGAAUUUCUCUUUUAGAUUAUCAAAAGUAUUCCAAAGGUUUUCAAAGCUUGCUUUAUAAACUGACAUCAAGUCUUCAAUUCUUAUUUGUAAAGAUUUUCCAAAGGUUUUACCAAAGUAUUCUUCUAUGCUUUUAUUUCGUUAAAUGCAUGCCUAUAUUUGUAUAGUUAUAUAAAUAAUGUUUAAAGGACUUAGAACGGCUAGCUCACCUUAUUUCCUUUUCCUCGUUGGAUUGUGGUCUGGUGGGUAUCGGUUAUUCGUCCGAAGGUCGUCUAAAUAUUAGUUAUAUAUCAUGUAUACAUGUAUAGACAUACAGGUUUCCAUCAACCAGUUCAUUUCCUUUGGGUAGCAAAGGCAUCCUUCCAUUCAUCAUUCAUAUACCGGAAACGUUAGUAACUAUUAUAGGAAUAGUUAGGAGAUUCUAUUUACUCUUUCUAGUUUGAAGAAUUCCACAAGAGUCAGUUUAUUCGUAAGUCUAUACUAUUACUAUACUACUUUAAAUAGAAUGCGACGUACUAUUUGCUUAUACGCCGCUUCCAAGCGCCAUCGCUGUGUAACCAUAGUCUCCUGGAGGGAGAGCGGGCAUCAUGUGUAUAGAUCUAUGCGGGACAGACACUCCCACACCUUGACUGCUAGCUACAGUCUGAGCCGGUAAGGCCCAAUGGGUGACAGAUGUCACCAUACAUCGCAUGACCUGGAGGGUCAUCAAGGAUUCGAUCGUCAAUCAGCAUGGCUACAUACGAGUUCACAUUCACCCUUUUAUUUAGACUGAGCCAGGCGUAUCGUUCAUUCGAUACCCUCCUAGAGUCUACGUUUUCCCUUGUUUUAGACUUUGCUAGAUGUAUCGUCCAUUUGAUACUGUCUGGAGUCUGUGUUUCUUUGUUUUAGACUUUGCUAGUUGUAUCGUUCAUUCGAUACUGACUAGCGUCUGUGUUUCUUUGUUUUAGACUUUGCUAGCUGUAUCGUUCAUUCGAUACUGUCUGGAGUCUGUGUUUCUUUGUUUUAGACUUUGCUAGAUGUAUCAUUCAUUUAAUACUUUCUGGAGUCUGUGUUUCCUUGUUUUAAACUGAGCCAGGCGUAUUGUCCAUUCAAUACCCUCCUGGAGUCUAUGUUUUACUUAUUUUUAAACUUUGCGAGGCGUGGCGCCUGGAGUCUAAGUUUUGUUUACUUUUAAANUUAGCCAACAGUGUUUCUGCUGAGGAAAAAUAUGAUUUUCCCUUAUUAUUUUUACUUGAGGCUUUUCUCAUAACUCCUUUAAAGUAAAAACUAUAUUUUGAUAAUGAUAGUACUUUGGGGAAAUUACUCCUUAAACAUAAACAAUUGGGUCUUGGUAGAAGACUACCUUUAUUUAGAAAAUAUAGGAUUUUCUGGAAGGAAUUCUAAUACUCUAAAGAUUCUAAACCACCAUCUUUCCUGAGCUUAUUUUGAAGUAAAAUAUGUAUUUAUACUAAUGUCAUUAAAUACUUAUGAACUCACCAAUAUUUAAAUAUGUUGAUACUCGCUUUCAAAAUGACUUGUAUUCUCAGGUCAUCGAUAGACAGGUACAUCCCGGGAGCUUUUGAGAAGACAGCCUAGUACCAAGCUGCAUCUAUGUUAUUCUCUGUAUUUACUUUGAUGUUUCUAUGAAAUGUAACCUAUGAAAAGUUAUUACUAUUAAUGCAAUGGUUGUUGUACUUUGAUUAAUAUACUACAUAUGUUGUGAUACUUGACAUGACGUCCUCCACCCCAGAACGUAUUUCGCUGUUCUCGGUUUUGGGGUGUGACAGAUUGGUAUCAGAGCAUUGUUUAUAGUGAGCUCAGUAUAUCUAAUCAUAAAAGAUAUACAACCUAUAAAUACAUUGGGAUAAAACACUAUGACCAAGAAUUAUACUUUAAAAUAUAACCUUAUUUUACAAAAGUAUAAGAACAUCCAAAAUCUAAACUCCCGAACAAAGUAUCACAAGAAGAACAAGAAUAAAAGUCUUCGGAUGUUGACGAUUACCGUCAACCCUGGGCAGUAAUGUAAUCAUAAAUUGGAAUAAAUGUAACCUGAUCAACUACAUUUAUUCGAGAUGCGACUACCGUGUGCUUGGGAGUGAUGGUGGUGUUGCAACCAAUCUGAAACUUACCAAAUAGGAAUGCUAGAGCCAAACAUAAAGUUUAAAAUACUAUGGGAGUAUUUUAGGAUACUAAAAGACUCACAUUAAUCCCAGAAUCAUAAUCAGAAGUUAAGAUUCAAACAAGUAAUUAAAAUACCAUAGGGGUAUUUUAGGAUCCUUAGAUAACCUUGUGUGAAAAACUAUAAAGAUCCUUAUUGAUAUACCUAUGAUUACAGAGGGUGUACUUCCAAGGUUAUAUAUAGUAAGGAUCCCAUAGACCAAGAAUGUGUGGUUUCUCUCUACUUCCUUUUCCUCGUUGGGAUGUGGAUAUAGAGUAGUAUCACAUAUUCGAAGGCCUAUCGGAUCUAAGUUAUAUAUGAUUUUUGUACCCUAUGUAAUUGUAGCAGGACUCGAUAUGGAUCACCCAGGGAAAUGUUUUAAUAAUCUCUUAGGAUUCUUUAGACAUUUCCAUUCUCACACGAAACCCUUUAGAGAAACUUAUCCACUUCAGUGUACGACAGAAGAGUUGAUUCAGACCCAGAAGAGGUUUAUUGAGAAGAUUUCCAGUGCGGAAAUAAAUGAACUAGGACAAGGCUAUGGAAACCACCAAGUGCCUAUACCUUUUAGGGACAUCGGUGGGAAAUUCGCCUGAAGUUCCAAGAUUUCCAGUCAUCCAUCAUGAAGCAAUGACACUCAGGAUCAGGAUCAGAAGUAAGGCAGUGAUGACACUCAGAGACAGAAUCGGAAGUAAGACGGAGUAGAAAUUCAAUAUGUCUACUCGAGAAGAGAACCAUAGGUAACUACCCAAAGAAAACCAACGCUGGUCCCAGUCAAGGAUAAGAGGUAGACAGAGGGAGCCAAUACAUGGAACCUGAGAAGUGUCUUUUCCUCGUUAUCGUCGCGCUAAUACACCCAUAAAAUAAUACAAUUUAGUGAGUUAGUGAUUACACUACUCACACUAUGUGCUAGGCAAAUCGCCUUUCCCCGUCGAAAGUAAUACGAUUAGAUCGGAUCCCAAAACUUCGAUUGAGAGUGUGUAGCCAUAAGUCUUCAUGAGCCUUUCUUCCAUGAUUUUCGUUCUGAACUGUCCUCAAAUCUUUCCAAAGCCGGAGAGCAAAUCUCUCCAGUAUAAAGAUAACUUAGUAGGAACGACUCCCAUCUUAUAGCUUUCCGAUACUCUUAUUCCUACCUUGAUACCCGAACUACAUCAUAGGGAUGUAGGUCGACACUCAGAUAACCAAUAUCCGAGGCGCGGGAAAAAUUUAUGCCUAUUAUAGUAAGAAUAGAUACGUCUAGAGUUAAUCAUCAUCUCUCAUCGCCUUGUGUUCCUUUUCGUGUAGGAAAAACCAUGCCUCCAAAGAAACGUAAGCAACCCGCUGUCAAGACACCGACUCUCUUAUUCGAUGAAGCUGUGUUUCAAGCUGCAGUUUCAGUAGCCGUAACAGCUGUCAUGGCUCACCUGAACGCUAGCAAUGCCAAUGUUAGCAGGAGCCUUAUAGGGAUUUCCGAUUAUAGCAAUGGACAACAGCAACCAACACCCGUGUACCCAGCCACCCAAGAACCUCAACCAAAUCCACUGAAGAGAAAGUUCAAGAAUGAGGAAGGAAGUACCUCGGCUCAAGGACCUUCCGAAGGGCAACGAGCUGAGGUAGUCAAUACCCCUGCCAACCCUUCCAUCCCGACACCUAGAAGGCCAUACCUAGGAAACCUCCCCCAUUGCAGCAAAUGUAGCUACCAUCAUCAUGGUAUCUGCCGCUCUUUUGUGUUAGGUGCAACAUGAAGGGGCAUACCUCUCGUACCUGCAGAGCCCCGGUUGAGCUCAUUACAUCAACCACCAAUGUGGGGACCAGUCUAGUAUGCCACCUAUGUGGUGAAAUUGGACACUUCAAGAGGGACUGCCCAACUGAGGGAAACGACAAGGGCACAGGAGGAGUAUAACCCUAAUGCCUAGGGAGAAGCGUCAAGGAACCCAGUAGAAUUUUGGUACGUCUCUCUCGAUCCCGAGUAGUUAACCGAGAACUUUAAUAAAUCAAUUCUAACUGUAAUUACACUCUCGUUAAGGCGAAAGUCGCAGCACUGUUGUAAAAUUCAAAAAUCCAUCAGGUAAAGCUAUAAUGGCACGAUAUAUACGUUAAGGCCAUGUAUAAUUAAGAUUGAUAGACCUCGAGUGAGUGAUGCUGCCUUAUUUCCUGUUCCUCGUUGGGUUGUGGAUUUAGGGCAGAGUCGCUCCGUCAACAGUCCUUUCCACCUUAAUUAUACAUCACUAGUGUAUACUAGGCGAUUAUAGAGAGACCUCGUGAGAAAUCCAUUCACGAAAAGUACAUUAUUCCGAAACAUCAGGACCCCCUAGAGUCCUGCGUCGAUUCCAUCGGUCCAAGUAUCCGCGACAGUGCUACCAUGGACAAAACUUGAGACGCCCAGAACUUGUGUGCCCGUUCAGCACAUGGUCCUAUCGACCUUCAUUCCAUAUCAUGUCGAUGUAUGGCUACUUCGACGCAUCUAUCAAUCAUGGUUCGACUUAGUGCAACCAUGUGUAAAUUCCUAGUGUUAUGUAAAGAGAACUUUCACCAUAUCCAUUUUAGCAAAUAAAGGUUCUUCCGAACUUAAUAAUAAAACCUAAUGCAAUCCGUCGGUCGUCUCUCUUAUCUAAAACCUUCCGAUAUAACCAGGAGAAGGGUAUCGCGCGCUGUUAACCAACCCCUCCUUAGACAGAUAGAACCCAAAGCGAAAGACACUGUAGGUAUUCCAGAAGACGAUAACCACCCGAAACCUACUCCGUAGGUCCCCCAGAAAGACCCUUAGCACCUCACAAUCGGAUUUGUGAAUCAAGAGAAGGAACUCAUAGGAUUAACUUGCUACUACUGAGUAUAUGCAUUAGAGAGGUAUAUAAUUUAGAUCAAUAAGAUUUAAGAUGUGUGCUUCCUCCCUACCCCCUGUUCCCUGUUUGGUUGUGAGUCUGGGGUGGGGCCACACAUCUGAACAUCCCAUCAUUCUCAAUUAUACACGACUUGCAUACAUCGAGUAUUAGUGAUUAAGCCGAGUAUGGGGAUUACCAUGAACCUUAUAAUAAGACCCUUCAUCCUGUCCCAUAAAAAAGGAACUUGAGUCAAGAGAACCACUACGGGUUGAGCUACUAAAAUAACCACAAAUGGGAAAUUUUCGUCAUCCCGGUUGAGCCAACAUAGUAGCUAACAUCCUCGGCUAGGAAAAGUAACUCGAGUCGUAAGAGUCAAACAUUGACUAUGAGUAUCCAUUCGUGCCUAACCCCACGAAUUAAGCAUCUCCGCAGAGAUCCCGGAAACCCGGGAGUUGUAAUAGGUUAAACUAUGAGGAGAAUGGAUGAGGAAAUUAUAAGACCCGAGUGACGGCACCCUACACUCUCUAGAUUUAAAUCUAGAUCGAGAAAACUCAAAAACACCGGAAUAGUAGUUGUAAAGGAUACUCGCACUACUCAGGCAUUUCGUCCAUCCCGUUACAGAAGAGUAGUGCCUAGGACACACCACCUUCUCAUGCGAAAGAAGUCACCAUCACCCUUUAGACGAUCGACCGCAUUCACCGAAGUGAAUACUAGAAUGCCAAGAACCAUAGGAUAACCUUCGUGACCAAGGAUACUUGAGGAAAGUAAGCGAUAAGUUGUGUCAAACUACGUAACCCAGGUCGUAAGGAGAUUUUAGACUCGACACCGGUCUGGGUGCUAGUCGAUGGGUUAUACGAGAGCACGCGCUUCCUAUGAGCUGGAGAGAGUCCCGACACCUUAUGUGGGCAUGUCUUAGAGAGUCGUUGGGGCUAUUAGGUGUUCCAAAGGAUACUAUUUGUAAAGAAAUGGUAGAACCACCUCCUGAAAUAAUCCAGCACCUCAGGAAAUCUCUAAGGGCUAAGCUAGCCCUGAUCUGAGACUGAUAUCCAUGAAACAGUGAAGCGAGUAAGAGAAUGAUUCUUUCCUGUUAGGAAUCAUACUGUGAAAGCAUCUGUUAGACAAUAAUGAUAAUUAAAACCUUCUAAACAUCGUUCGGUAAAAACCUAUCCCACCGACUUUGAGAGUUCCCAUUAGAAACACCUCGAGAGUCAAAAGUGCAGGACCAUUUUUGCACUAAAUCGAGAUAGAUGUCCUGUAAACAAUAGAUACCAGUGCGUAGCCAAUACAUCCGAUGAUCCAGAAAACCUCUGAAAGCCAAUCAGUAGGGAAUACGAAUCCGAAGACGACAUGAGUCUUCUAAGAACCAACCCGAGAACUACACCCCCGAUAUGAGAGAACUUUUGGAACUUCAAAAUGGCGAUCACGCCAAUGAUGAUCUCACCAUAGAAGUACAUUAUGUUCUAAGUACUAAAAAGCUCUAUCUUUCCGAGAGCUUAGAACCAUCCGAGAUUCUUUAUAAGAAUUGGUCCAACCCUUGUCAGACCACGACUACUUUUGGAAUUCCAUAAAUUCCACCGUGGUCUAUUCGUGUCUCCAACAUGAACAAGAUGUUUGUCCGACGUGACUUGUAAAAUCCCACUUGUCGUGAUAGAAAUCAUUGGGAACCCUAAAUUCGUAGAGGAACCUGUAGGAAUCAUGAAUCGAGCGAUCAAGCGAACGAAACGAAAUUCGCAUCCAGUUAAGUGCAGGUUCGCUAGAACGCCAAGCAAAGACCGGAGUUCACUUGGGAGCACGAGGACCAACCGAAUAGGAAGUACCCUCAUCUCUUUACUCGAUUUUUCAUGCCUACUUCCUUGCUUAAACUCUAAUUUCGGGACGAAAUUCCCUCUAACGGGGGGAUGAUGUGACAACCCGAAAUUUUUAAUUGUAUUAAACUCCACAAUUAAGAAAUCCAUUAGUUAGCCAAAUUUAUCUCAAAAUAUUUUUGGCCGGAUUUAAGCCCGUUGGAAUAUUUUGAAUAAUAUUCGUCAAGCGAACAAAAAAUAAGGAAGUAUAGAGUUGUCGAGUUUAACGUAAGUCGCGAAACUCCAAAAAUUUGGAGUUUACGGGAGUAAACUCGGAGUUUAGACCGUAAACCCCAAUGACUAUAUAUAUGGCACUUAGCCAUUUUUCUUCAUUUCUUCCAUUUCAAGCUAGAGAAAACCCAAUUUCUCUCCCAAGGAUCGUCAAGCUUUCGUCCCCAACCCUCGUAUACGUAAGUUCUUCUAUCCUAGCAUAUAUUAAAGCUUGUUAUACUUCCAUAUGUCAAGAAAUCAUCCAAGAAACACCAAGAACAAGGUGUUUACGGUCCAAGGUGUUCUUGGACCUUAAACCCUAAAAUGGGUGCCAAAGUGUGCCUUGGUUCAUUCUAAGCCUUAACAACUAGCAUAGAUCCUUUCCUUGAUGAGUUUAGCACUCGAAAAUCAUCAUUUCCCCAUGUUCAUGUGAUUUUACGGUUUGGGGAUCUCCUAAAACCGUAAACACCUCCGAAAGGGUGUUUCGAUGCCCUUAACACCUUAUAUGGUUUGUUUAUGGGACUAGAACCUUGCAUUCUUAACCUAGAACCACCAAAUCACAAGAAAAAUGGACAAACAUGAGUUUACGACUAUAAACCCAUGUGUUUACGAUCGUAAACUCCCCAAGGAGUGGUUCAAAAACUGUAAACUCCAUAAAGUGUCCUUUUUGAGCCCUAGUCACUUCCAUAGCCCUUGAUUCGAGUCUAGCAUAAUUCCUUGAGUGAGAUAAGACCUUUAAACACCCCAUGGCACAACUACCAUGAGUUUACGACCGUAAAUUCAUGGGGGUUAUGGUCCAGAAACCGUAAACACCCCUAAGGGCCACCAUUUGAGGAGUAAACUCUAAUGUGAGGCCAUACUCUCUUUAUAUGCAACCCUUGGUACUCCUAGCACUUGUAGCAAAGUGUUUCCAUGCUUUAGGAUGACCUUACUUGCAUAAUUGGUUGUUAAAUGACUAAUUAGAUACUUAAAUGUAUCAUUACAUGUCAAAUAGGAUUUGCGUGUGUCGUCAAGUCCUCACUUGACACUUAGCAUCCUAUACCAUCCGUUCAUCAGAAUCACCCAUGUCAGGUGAGUUCAUACCCCUGAAUUAACCUUUUAAUUGAUUUUAAAUGCUUUUAUGGGGGGAUACAAGUUUAACUAUAGAGUUAUUAUAUCAAUCACACAUGAUUAAUAACUGUAUAGCAAAUGGAUUUUUACAUGUUAAACUACUUCACCCAACAAAAGCUUUUCCAAUCUCGUUUUCAAAUCUUGUUUAAAGUAUGAAUUUCUCUUUUAGAUUAUCAAAAGUAUUCCAAAGUUUUUUCAAAGGUUUUCCAAAGGUUUUCAAAGCUUGUUUUAUAAACUGACAUCAAUUCGUAAAUUCUUAUUUGUAAAGAUUUACCAAAGGUUUUACCUAAGUUUUCUUCUAUGCUUUUAUUUCGUUAAAUGUAUGCCUAUAUUUGUAUAUUUAUAUAAAUAAUGUUUAAAGGACUUAGAACGGCUAACUCGCCUUAUUUCCUUUUCCUCGUUGGGAUGUGGUCUGGUGGGUAUCGGUUAUCCAUCCUAAGGUCGUUUAAAUAUUAGUUAUAUAUCAGGUAUACAUGUAUAGACAUAAAGGUUUCCAUCAACCAGUUCAUUUCCUUUGGGUAGCGAAGGCAUCCUUCAAUUUAUCAUUCAUAUACCUGAAACGUUAGUAACUAUUAUAGGAAUAGUUAGGAGAUUCUAUUUACUCUUUCUAGUAUGAAGAAUUCCACAAGAGUCAGUUCAUUCGUGAGUCUAUACUAUUACUAUACUACUUUAAAUAGAAUGUGACGUACUAUUUACCGAUAUGCCGCUUCCAAGCGCCAUCGCCGUGUAACCAGAGUCUCCUGGAGGGAGAGCGGACAUCAUGUGUAUAGAUCUAUGCGGGACAGACACUCCCACACCUUGACUACUAGCUACAGUCCGAGCCGGUAAGGCCCAAUGGGUGACAGAUGUCACCAUACAUCGCAUGACCUGGAGGGUCAUCAAGGAUUCGAUCGUCAAUCAGCAUGGAUACAUACGAGUUCACAUUCACCCUUUUAUUUAGACUGAGCCAGGCGUAUCGUUCAUUCGAUACCCUCCCGGAGUCUAUGUUUUCCCUUGUUUUAGACUUUGCUAGCUGUAUCGUUCAUAUGAUACUGUCUGGAGUCUGUGUUUCUUUGUUUUAGACUUUGCUAGUUGUAUCAUUCAUUCGAUACUGACUGGCAUCUGUGUUUCUUUGUUUUAGACUUUGCUAGCUGUAUCGUUCAUUCGAUACUGUCUGGAGUCUGUGUUUCUUUGUUUUAGACUUUGCUAAUUGUAUCGUUCAUUUAAUACUGUCUGGAGUCUGUGUUUCCUUGUUUUAAACUGAGCCAGGCGUAUUGUCCAUUCAAUACCCUCCUGGAGUCUAUGUUUUACUUAUUUUUAAACUUUGCGAGGCGUGCCGCCUGGAGUUUAAGUUUUGUUUACUUUUAAACCAGCAAUGUUCCUGCUGAUGAAAAAUAUGAUUUUCCCUUAUUAUUUUUACUUGAGGCUUUUCUCAUAACUCCUUUAAAGUAAAAACUAUAUUUUGAUAAUGAUAGUACUUUGGGGAAAUUACUCCUUAAACAUAAACAAUUAGGUCUUGGUAGAAGACUACCUUUAUUUAGAAAAUAUAGGAUUUUCUGGAAGGAAUUCUAAUACUCUGUAGAUUCUAAACCACCAUCUUUCAUGAGCUUAUUUUGAAAUAAAAUAUGUAUUUAUACUAAUAUCAUUAAAUACUUAUGAACUCACCAAUAUUUAAAUAUGCUGAUACUCGCUUUCAAAAUAACUUCUAUUCUCAGGUCAUCGAUAGACAGGUACAUCCUGGGAGCUUUUGAGAAGACAGCCUAAUACCAAGCUGCAUCUAUGUUAUUCUCUGUAUUUACUUUGAUGUUGCUGUGAAAUGUAACCUAUGAAAAGUUAUUACUAUUAGUGCAAUGGUUGUUGUACUUUGAUUAAUAUACUACAUAUGUUGUGAUACUUGACAUGACGUCCUCCACCCCAGAACGUAUUCCGCCGUUCUCGGUUUUGGGGUGUGACAGUUGACUUGACUUGAUUAUUAGGAAAUUCAGUGCCCCCAUCACUUUGAAAGAUUUUGAUUUUUCUGGAGAAUUGAGUUUGAACCAUUUGUAUGAAACUCACUAAAACACAUGAAAAUUCAGAUUUUGCCUUUAGGGGGUACAACCAAGAAAAGCGAAUACGGCAUAAUAUCUAUAAUUAUCGUUUGAAGUAACCGGGGAGGGUCCCCAUAGAUCACAAUGAACAAGAUCUAAUAAAUUUAAGGCACGAGUUUUAUUUAUGUCAAAUAGUAACCGUUAACUUUUAGCAAGUUAACACAGGGAACAUAAACCCGGUUUAGGUAAAAGUGCAUUCACAACAAGGUAACCAAGUUUUUGUAAAGAGGUAAUAAUAUCAAAAUUGGCAUGGUCCAAGUGGCAAUGCCAUACUUCAAACGAUGCUUUGGGGCUUGAGUGAGACACAAACGCUUGAUCACUUGGGUGGAGAACAUAGAGACCAUUCUCACAUCUUCCACUGGCGAGAACCUAUUUGGUGUGAAGAUCCUGAAUGGAAAAGGAAGGGUAAGAAAGUAAGACAUCAACCAAGUUAUCUUUAGUUAGUUUGCUGAUAGAUAACAGGUUGUGAGUGAGAUUUGGGAGAACCAAGAUGUCAUUCAAAAAAAUGUUUCUAUUGAGGAUUGGGUGCCCUUUGUGAGUAACAGGGAGGGACUUGGCAUUCCCAAACAUAAAAGUUUCUUUACCUAUAGUGGAUGAAGCAUCGGAGACCGAGUGAGCGGUGGAGGUCACGUGGUCAGUUGGACCAGAGUCAAUGAACCAAUCAGGGUUUGAAGAUGAAACAUGACACUGAGAUAAGAAGGCAAAGGCUAAUUUAUUAUCCUUCACUUCAAUCCUAGCAGCGAAUUUCGUAAGAUCGGGACACACAGUGGUAUAGUGCCCAUUGGUGCGACAUAACUGACAGUGGGGACUGCGUCUACCACCCCGAUUGCCAUGACCAUCACAAGACCCCCCAUUGUUACCACCACGAUAAGAGCCACGUCCCCCACGAGUAAGAGAAACAGAAGCGGACACACGUGAUUCAAAAUUAGCACUGAAGGCAACUGGGGGUGUGGCGGAGUGAUGAAGAGCCCUGAUGAAUAACUCAUGGCUUUCAGCCCGAGCAAGUAAGUCAGCGAAGGACGAGGCAGGUCUGCUUGAACGAACGGUAGUCGAUAAGGUCUCAAAGAUAGGCCCGAAGUCACAUAAAAACUAGUGCAAUUGAUCCUCUGCAUCAACAAGUCACAUAGGACUUUGAAAGCUCGUCCAAAUUCAGCAACAGUCUUGGUUCCCUUUUGGAUCAAACGAAGUUGAUCACGGAGGUUGUGCAACCGUUCAAUUGAAGAGUUUCCAUAUGCGUGUUCAAGGGUGACCCAGAUCUGUCGAGCAGUUGACAGCCCCACAAUAACAGCGAUAGCCUCCUCCAAUAAUGAGUCUUGGAGAAUGAUGAUGCACCGCUGAUGACUCGGGACAAGAAUUUCGGGUUCACAGUUGAUUUGUCUCCAACAGUGAUGGUGUUGGGUGGGCACAGGAGGGAGCCAUCGACAUGAGAGAACAGAUCUUGAUAAGUUAAAAUAGGGUUCAUCUAAUUCUUCCACAAUAAAUAAUUAGUGGAGUUAAGUUUGACUGUUAUCAUAUGCAUUAAGGUGUUCAGUAGGAUUGAAGCAUCAGAAGUGCUCGCCAUGGAAGAAGAAGAGAAGAACAGAAGGAGAAAACGGACAGAAGGGAGAGGCGCAGGGAGAGAAAGUGGAAGAUGAACGGGGAGGGUGUUAACUCUCUGAUACCAUGAUAGUGAAAUUAAAUCGAAUAGCCUCACAAAUCAAAUGUUGCAAGGUGGAGAGAUGUUAAUCUUGGAUCAAAAGCUCGAAUAAGUGUUGAACCCACAAAAUCCAAUCCACCUAUAACAAAGAAUUGUCCAUUUUAACUCAGAAUCAAGUGCAAUUAGGAUGAAAGGGUACCAACUAGUAAGAAAUUGUAUAUGUCACGGUAGGGUGAAUAACCGAAACGAAUAGUAAUACUUGAAAAAAUAAAGAGUUCAAAUAAUAAUCCUUAGGUUUGUAAAAGUCUCGUCAACAAGGUUAAUAAAAUAAUUUAUCACAUAAAAAUGGACAUUGACAAGGCAUUUGAAACUAUAUAGUCUUCUGAUGUAUGGUAGCUGCAAACUACGGUAAACCUGCAACUACUAGGCUAAAAUAUGCAUAAACUGAAUCACUAUAGGUUUUUAUAUUGUUAAAAAUUAUAGAUAAAUUGAGAUAAUAGUGUUUAAGUUCAUGAAUCGCAACAAACUCAUCCUUAUGGUGGUGGUCGCAUGCUAUUAUAACUAGUCAGCUAAUAACCUACAACACGUUGUUUGCUUCAAUAUUACAAACAAACUACAACAUAAAAUCAUUAAUGCUAAUACUUUUUUUUAUUGGUAACAUACAGACUCUGGCUAGUAAUAUUGACCACAUUGACAACCUCAAAAAUUUUAUGGCAACUUUAAUGUAAAGAAAAAUGAUAUUGUUAAUAAGACAUUACAUUUUUACAAAAAAAUCAACCUAUAAUUAAUUAUUUAUAAACAUUUUUUUCAGAAACAAUGCAAUUUUAACUUAUAAAAAUAUUUCAAAAAUUAAUUAGAGUGUUUAAAUGGUAAAAUGAGAUGUAUUUUUAGCCAAAUUCAAAAAAUAAACUAUGAUGCAAAACAUUGAGUGUAAUCAAAUUACACUCAGACGUGUCCAUUGAACCCCUACAAGCAAUACACAAUUAAUAUAAUAUUUGACAUAUAUAAUAAACAAUCCGAUAAUUUAAUCAUUAUUUAUGUUACUAAUAUGUCUUUGAACAUAAGGAUAUAAUCCUACCAAGGUUCAUUUACUUUAGUAUUAUGUAUUUGUAACAAAUCAAAUUAGAAUGGGAAAACUUAAAAAAAAAUCAACAAAUAUAAAAAAAGACAAAAUUGCAAAAAUGGUCCUUGUGGUAUGCAUUUUUUGAGGUUUCAGUCCAAACCUCGACUUUUUUUUUAUUCAUGGUUCUUUUGGCCUAGUUUGUAUGUAGAAAUCGUCCCCCGACUUAACUUCUGUUAAGUUAUUGCUGUUAACCCCCUCACGUGCAUCUCACAUGAGGGUAUAUUUGUCUUUUCACAUAUAAAUGACAAUUUUUGCACCUAAAAAAUAUAUCUUUUUUUUAAAUAAAAAUUAAUACCUAUUUAUUUAUUUUAAUAAUUAAAAAAUUAAAAAGGCCUCUCUCUCUCUCUCUCUCUCUCCACCCAAAACACAGUCAACAAUUUUGAUUUGUGUAUGUGUGUGUUUUCAUUUUUAAAGGUGUUUCUGGGUUUUGUUUCAACCACCAUCUCUAACCCUGGUUUUUAGAUUUGUAAUAAAUGUAGCUUUUCAGAUUGAGUAAGGGAAGAAAUGAGUGAGGCGGACGAUUGGAGUCUCCAACAGUGGCUGGUGAUUGUGAGGAGGGGUGGCAUCGAUCUCCGGCGAGCCCUCCUUCGUUGUUCCUUUUCCCGAUCCGGCAUCAAAACACACAUGGGAGGAAGGAAGCUGCAGUCGCCGAUCAAAGGGAGUGUCAUAGGUGCUCAAUCGGACCGAUGAAGGAAAAAUAAGAUCGAAUGUAGCAAGGGCUGCUUAAGCAUUAAUCUGCGAAGGAGAAGGAAUGAAGGAAGAUCCGAGUGAAACAGGUAAGCUACGACAACAACUUCGGUAAAGAAAGGUGCAAAAGGGGGAAGAUGUGAUAAAUAACCGAAGGAGGUGGCAAGGCUGCUCCCCGGCAAGUCUCAUCGUGGUUUCUUUCUCGUCAUCGAUAGCAACGAUUUGGAAGGGAAUCAGAGCAGCUGCAACAACAACGAUUGAGGUGGGGUGUUUGGGGUUGUGCUUUUUCGAUUGUAGGAGGGUUGCAGAGGUGUUGAACAUCGAUUGUAACAGCCCGGAUUCCCAGGUAUUAUUUAUUAAUGUAUUUUUGGUAUUUUGUGAGGAGACUCGGCGAGUUGGAGCUCAAACUCGCUGAGUAGGAUCGCGGUUGGACGCGGGUUCGCGUCUGGACUCGGCGAUUCCACGCUGUUUAAUGAAACCCUAAUUUCCAGGGUGUGAGACCUAUUUAAGGGGGCUUAUGGCCGUCAUUUGCGGCCACCAACCCCAGAGAGAACCCUAAAGAGUCUUUGAGCGUUUUGUGAGAGAGAAAAGGAAGAUCCUUGAUUAUUUGUGGGUGUUUUUGCAGAUAGAAGAAGAUCAAGGCAAGAGGAGACCAAGGAAGGUGCUAAUUCAGUGAUUUCUGAGCUCAGAGACUUCAUUUGAGGUAACCAUUCGUUCCUUUCUCAGUCCUUGAUGUGAAUCUUAGAUUUAGGGUUUCUUUGUGGAAUGAUCCAUGGGAGUAAUUGGCCUCUUCUUGUGUUGAUGCUUUAGAUCUGGAACCAAAGAGGUCCAGAGACCCUUUUCCCUCAAGCUUUAUGAGUGUUAAUGGAGGCCAUGAGCUUAGAAUAGCAUUCUAGAGACCAUAUCAUCAAAUAAGGCCUUUGGACCUUUGCAUAAGCACCAAGAUUGUAACUUUACGUGAUGAAUGUGCUUGGGAAGGCCAGAUCUAAGGUUUGGGAAAGCAGAUCUGACCUCAGAAGGUCAAUAGAGUUUGUGCAUGGCAUGAACUCGCCGAGUUGUUCUUGGGACUCGGCGAGUAGGGUUGGGGUUUCACAUAAUGUGUUCAAUGGGCGGACUCAUCGGGUUGGGGGAUGACCCAGUGAGUCAGGGAGAGUCUUUAUGGGGCCGAGUCAANAGUCAAACUGGAACUCGCCGAGUUGUUCUUGAGACUCGGCGAGUUGAGUCGUGGUUGCCCCGCGAUUCAUGCCAGGUGGAACUCGUCGAGCUAGGGAGGUACUCGACGUGCCAAGAGAGGAUCUGAGGGAGUCAGUGAAUGCGCAUAGACUCGCCGAGUCGCUCUAAUGCACUCGCCGAGUCCGGUCAAAGUUGACCGUUGACCAGAGUUGACUAGUGUUGACUUAGUAAGGUUAAUCAACCUUAGUCUUGGAAGUGUUAAUUAGAGAUAUGUGUUGUAUAUAGGAGGAUUAUAGCUCGAGGGAUCGAGCACGAGUGAUUCAGGGACUUGCGAUUAUCAAGAUACACGAGGUGAGUCUUCUCANUACCUUGAGUAGGUAACCAGAGUUAUGUGACAGAGUAUUUGUAUGCUAUGUAUGUUAUGUGUUGUACUGCAUUAUUUCUAUGUGAUUUAUGUUGUGCAUGUUUACAGAGUUAGAACCUGAGGGUUCACAGAGUUUGGGUGCACGGACCCACAGAGUUAUAGCCUCGAGUGGCUAAUAUGUGUUAUAUGUGGUAUUUUGGGGAACUCACUAAGCUUUGUGCUUACAGUGUUUGGUGUUAUUUGUUUUAGGUACUAGUGACGACCGUGGGAAGGCGCCGGCUUGAUCAGUACACACGCACGGGAUUUUAUGAUUAUGAGAUCUUGGGAUUUUUGUAUGACUUGGAUUGAAUUUCAAACAUGGGUGUUUUAUGAAUAUUAAGUGAAUUAUGUUUUUAUAAAAUUCGAAAAUUUGUUUUGAAAUUUACGACAUUACAAGUUAGUAUCAGAGGCUUGGUUUGAGGGAUUCGGGUACACCUUCGGGGGUAUUUGAACUCAAACUGAGGAUUUGGAAAAUAUUUUCAAAAGAGAACCAAAUUUUAUAAAAGAAGUAAAAGAUUUUUAGAGAAACUCAUAGCAGAAACGUGUGUAUGAUCAGUCAGCGCCCGAACGGUGAUUUCCCAAAAUACCCUUAUACUAUAUGUUUAUGAGAUUGAUAUGAUGUAUUCUUUUGCUAGAGCAGGCUAGGUAUUCCUAUUAGGACUAGAGUGCCCUGAUUUGUGAUGCCUUAGCCUAGGGGAAAGUGAGUUGCUAUGAGAUGCUUGAGAGUGAAUAGGUAGCAGCGAGGAGCUUAUGAGAGAUCUGUUAGAGAGUGAUAGAGUACUUGGAACUUGGAAUCCGAAGGGGAGGAUUUGGGGUGUAUACUGAAACAGUGCGGACAGUAGUAUUGGGCCCGUACUACUGAAGGCACCGGAGCGGUGUACAGUUCAAAUAAGAACCUUCGGAAUGCCAAGGAUCAGGGAGGAAAGAGUUGUCGAGUGUGAGCAUGCUCGAAUGAAUUCUAAUUUAUCGUAUGUUGUAUUUCAGAGGUUGAUCAUGGUGAGGACACGUCAUAUGCCAGAGGGCAGUGGGACUAGUGAUGAGGAGAUCCGUCAGAUCAUCCACGAGGAGGUGGCUGCGGCCAUCAGGGCAGAGAUACCAGAGAUGUUCGGGUCUAUUAAGACCACGCUGAUUGAGACUUUCGACGAGCGUUAUGCUGCUCUUUCUGAGGUUGCUGUUGCGGCGGCCACCGCAGCUGUUGCUGCUGCGAGGCNNNNNNNNNNNNNNNNNNNNNNNNNNNNNNNNNNNNNNNNNNNNNNNNNNNNNNNNNNNNNNNNNNNNNNNNNNNUGGAUUUCUGACAUAGAGGGGUGUUUCUUCACUUGCUCAUCUCCUGAGCAUUUGAAGGUUCGGUUCGCGCUGAACCAGCUUCGCUUGGGAGCGAAGGACUGGUGGAAGUUUGUGACGGCGCACUUUACGCCUGCUGAGCUUGCGGCAGUGACCUGGGAGAGGUUCACUGCCAUGUUCCGAGAUGAGUACGUUCCCCAGGUGGAGAGGGAGAGUUUAGCCUAGGAGUUUCUGACCCUCAACCAGGGUACUGAGUCUGUUACGGUGAUUACCAGGAUGUUUCACGAUAGGGCGAUGUUCUGCCCUGAGCACGUGUCCACUGAGCAGGCACGCAUGAGCCGAUAUUUGAGUAUCUUGAGGCGAUACAUUAAGGAGUUCGUGGCGAACUCCUCGUACCGGACAUUUUCUGAGCUUCAGGCAAAUGCCCGGAAGAGGGAGAUUGAGCUAGAGACUCAGGCCAGGGAGGAGGCGGAGUCUCAGGGGAGGGAUCGGCGACCGGCACAGUCCUAGCUGGCAGCCAAGCAGGCCAAGCUCACUGNUGAUCCCAAAUCUGGGAGCCAGAGGGGCCGCACUUGUGGAAAGUGCGGCAAGGGUCAUGAUGGAGUAUGUAGAGCUGGAUCUUGCUACAAAUGUGGCAAGGAGGGGCAUAUGGCCAAGGACUGCCCCAAGGGAUUUGCAGUGUGUUUUCACUGCAAUCAGACCGGACACCGGAACGCGGAGUGUCCGCAGUUGCGGGGAUCAGCUCAGGGAGCACCUCAAACAAGGGAUUUGCAGUGUGUUUUCACUGCAAUCAGACCGGACACCGGAACGCGGAGUGUCCGCAGUUGCGGGGAUCAGCUCAGGGAGCACCUCAAAGAUCUGCCCCUGCCGCCAUCAGAGCUACCGAGAGUCGGCCAGUGAAGGCCGAGGCGCCGAGGGCACGAGGGCGANGAGAGCCUUUCAGUUGACCGCGGAGGAAGUCCGCGCAGCGCCCGAUGUCGUGGCUGGUAUGUAUUAUUUCAUGUAUUUAUUUUGAUGUUGAGAUAUUAUGCUUAUAUUAUGUUAUGCGUAGGUACUUUUUCUUGUGAAUUAUGUACCUGCCUUGGUGUUAUUUGACUCGGGUGCGAGUCGGUCUUUUGUAUCUUUGGCUUUUAGUCAGCAUAUCAGUGUUAGUUGCGAGGCGUUGAGUCGGCCUCUGAGGCUUUCCACAGCUGACGAGAGAGUGAUAUAUGCCACGGAGGUGAUCCAUGGGUGCGUAUUCGAGAUUUUCGAUGUUGAGUUUCCGAUCAAUUUGAUUCCUAUUACGAUGGGUGACGUUUGUGUCAUUGUGGGCAUAGACUGGUUGAGCAGAUUUGGUGCGGUUAUCGACUGCGAGGGACCGCUGGUGACCAUAAGAAACCCUAGUGGGGGAGUUCUUACGGUGUACGACGAGGGUACACGUUCUGGAUUAGCAUUUUGUUCGGCCGCUAGGGUAAGGCAGUGUCUACAGCAGGGCUGUAAGAGUUUUGUGGCGUACGUGUCGGAUACGCAAGUUGAUUUUGAGAGGCCGAGGUCAGUGGAGGAGGUUCCGAUAGUGCGAGAGUUCCCGGAUGUCUUUCCAGAGGAGUUGUCGUGUGCCUCCCNAGAGUUCAGUAUCGAUUUGGUUCCGGGGGCCGCGCCUAUCGCCAAGGUGCCUUAUCGUCUUGCACCUCCAGAGAUGCAAGAGUUAUCCUCGCAUCUUCAGGAGCUAUUGGGGAAGGGGUUUAUUCGGUUGAGCAGCUCACCGUGGGGAGCGCCUAUCCUGUUUGUCAAGAAGAAGGAUGGUUUCACACCGGAUGUGCAUUGAUUACCGGGAGUUGAACAGGUUGAUGGUCAAGAACCAUUACCCGUUGCCGAGGAUCGAUGAUUUGUUCGAUCUGUUGCAGGGAGCAUCUUGGUUCUCCAAGAUCGAUUUGAGGUCUGGAUAUCAUCAGUUGAGGGUGCGAGAUGAGGACAUCUAGAAGACAGCAUUCAGGACGCGUUAUGGGCAUUAUGAGUUUGUGGUGAUGCCCUUCGGGCUCACCAAUACCCCGGCAGUGUUCAUGGAUCUCAUGAACCGGGUGUGCAGACCGAUGUUGGAUCAGUAAGUGAUUGUAUUCAUCGACGAUAUCUUGGUAUAUUCGAGAUCUAGAGAGCAGCAUGAGGAGCAUUUGAGGGAGGUCCUCGGAGUUCUGAGAUCGGAGAGGAUUUAUGCCAAAUUCUCCAAGUUUGAUUUCUGGUUGCGAGAGGUCUAGUUCCUGGGACAUCUCGUUAACCAGGAAGGGAUAUUGGUCGACCCAGCCAAAGUUGAGGCGGUGAUGAGUUGGGAGGUGCUGAGGUCACCCUCCGAGAUCAGGAGUUUUCUAGGGUUGGCCGGUUAUUAUCGGAGAUUUAUCAAGGAUUUCUCUAAGAUCGCAGUGCCACUCACCAGGUUGACCCGGAAGGGUGUCGCUUUUUCAUGGGGCCCCGAGCAGCAGGCCUCCUUUGAGACGCUUCACCAAAGGUUAUGUGAGGCCCCGAUCUUAGCCCUCCCGGAGUGAAUGGAGGACUUUUUGGUAUACUGUGAUGCAUCGAUCUUGGGGUUGGGAGCGGUGCUGAUGCAGAGAGGGCAUGUGAUAGCAUAUGCAUCGAGGCAACUGAAGCCACAUGAGUCGAGGUAUCCCACCCAUGAUCUAGAGUUGGGGGCAGUGGUGUUCGCCCCCAAGAUUUGGCGUCACUAUCUGUAUGGGGUUCGGUGUACGAUAUACACGGACCAUAAGAGCCUGAAGUAUUUGAUGGAUUAGCUUAUGAUUGUGAGAUCCUUUACCAUCCGGGCAAGGCUAAUGUGGUAGCCGACGCCCUGAGUCGCAGGGCGGAGAACGCCCCGUCGAGGUGUAUGUUUUCGUUUGACCGUGAUGGCUCCGGUGUUGGACACCAUUCGUGGAGCACAGGCUGAGGCUAUGAGAUCAAAGAACCAGAAAAGGGAGCGUGUGGUAGGGUUGGUAUCGGAGUUCGUUACCGAUGGUCGGGGGCUUAUGACAUUUCAGGGGCGGAUUUGGGUACCGUUUGUGGGAAGGACGCGUACCAUUCUGAUGGAGGAGGCUCAUCGGUCGAAAUUCUCGAUCCAUCCUGGGGCCACUAAGAUGUAUUUGGAUUUGAGGAGGGAGUAUUGGUGGCCCUGUAUGAAGAGGGAUGUUGCGUGGUUUGUUGAGAGGUGCUUAACCUGCCGUAGGGUUUAGGCCGAACACCAGAGACCGCAUGGUAAGUUGCAGCCGUUGGAGGUUCCUGAAUGGAAGUGGGAACNUUUGACCUGCCGUAAAGUUAAGGCCGAGCACCAGAGACCGCACGGUAAGUUGCAACCCUUGGAGAUCCCUGAGUGGAAGUGGGAUCAGAUCACGAUGGAUUUCAUCACCAAAUUGCCGAAAACUGCCAGGGGAGUCGAUGCGAUUUGGGUGAUUGUGGAUAGACUAACAAAGAGUGCACAUUUCCUUGCCAUUAGUGAAAGUUCAUCAGCAGAGAAGUUGGCGGAGUUGUACGUGAGAGAGAUAGUAUCUCGGCAUGGGGUGCCGACCUCGAUUGUUUCGGACCGGGAUGUACGUUUCACUUCCAGAUUCUGGAAGAAGUUUCAUGAGGAGCUGGGUACAAGCCUGCAUUUUAGUACCGCAUAUCACCCCCAUUCGGACGGACAGAGUGAGCGGACAAUUCAGACGCUCGAGGACAUGCUCCAGGCAUGUGUGUUGGAUUUUAGGGGGAGUUGGGAUACGUACUUUCCCUUGGCAGAGGUUUCUUAUAACAACAGCCAUCAUUCGAGCAUUGGUAUGCCGCCUUUUGAGCCGUUGUAUGGGAGGAGAUGUCGAACCCCCAUCUGCUGGGAGAGGUCGGACAUCGUGUUAUGGGCAGUACCGAGAUCAUACUUCAGACGACAAAGCAGAUCCAGCAGGUCAGAUAGAGGUUGUUGACCGCUCAGAGUCGUCAGAAGAGUUAUGCGGACAGACGCCGGUCCGAGCUUAAGUUUCAGGUCGGCGAAUUUGUGCUCCUGAAGGUCUCUCCUUGGAAAGGAGUGAUUCGAUUCAGGAAGUGGGGCAAGUUGGGGCCUCGAUAUAUUGGUCCAUUUCGGGUGGUUGCGAGGGUAGGCAUGGUAGCCUAUCGUUUGGAUUUGCCAGCAGAGUUGGCGUAGAUUCACGACACUUUCCAUGUGUCGCAAUUGUGGAAAUGCAUAGCCGAUGAGUCGGUAGUGGUUCCAUUAGAGGAUAUACAGGUGGAUGCGAGCCUGAAUUAUGCUGAGAGACCAGUGGCAAUCAGAGAUCAGAAAAUCAAGGUUCUGAGGAACAAGGAGGUACCCUUUGUUUUGAUUCAGUGGCAGCAUCGGAAAGGGUCCGAGAUGACUUGGGAGCCGGAGCGUGAGAUGCGCGAGCAGCAUCCGGAGUUAUUUGCAGAGCGAGACUUCGAGGGCGAAGUCAAGUUCUAGUGGGGGAGAAUUGUAACAGCCCGGAUUCCCAGGUAUUAUUUAUUAAUGUAUUUUUGGUAUUUUGUGAGGAGACUCAGCGAGUUGGAGCUCAAACUCGCCGAGUAGGAUCGCGGUUGGACGCGGGUUCGCGUCUAGACUCGGCGAGUCCAUGCUGUUUAAUGAAACCCUAAUUUCCAGGGUGUGAGACCUAUUUAUGGGGACUUAUGGCCGUCAUUUGCGGCCACCAACCCCAGAGAGAACCCUAAAGAGUCUUUGAGCAUUUUGUGAGAGAGAAGAGGAAGAUCCUUGACUAUUUGUGGGUGUUUUUGCAGAUAGAAGAAGAGCAAGGCAAGAUGAGACCAAGGAAGGUGCUAAUUCAGUGAUUUCUGAGCUCAGAGACUUCAUUUGAGGUAACCAUUCGUUCCUUUCUCAGUCCUUGAUGUGAAGAUUGGCUUGGAGGGAAGAGCUUGAAGAGCAAAGGAGUUGAGGCAAGGAAGGUGUGGGAAACAUAACUUAUCUCAUCUAGCAUCUUUUGGAGGUAUCAAGUUGCAAUCUUUACUUCUCUUUUCUUCUAGAUCUCUUUGUGGUUGAGUAUUAGGGUUUUAUGGAUUUUUGGGAGUCAUAUUGGUGAGCCAUGGGCUAGAUCUGAAGUUGUAACUUCAGAUCUGGACCCAUCUCAAGUUCUGGAAUCAUAAAGUUUCUUUUUUUGUCGUGGUUGAGGCCCUUCUUGUGCAUGAAACCCCAUUAAGAGCUUAGAUUUGGCAUUAAGAGCCUUUUUAGUCAUGCAUGCACGUAAAGUUUGCUACUUUACGUGAAAAGCAUGUCCUAGAAGCUUGGAUCUGUAAUUUGGAGCCAUUACAUGGCUUAAAUAAGUCUGUAUGGCUUAAGGACUGAAGGAACUCGGCGAGUCGCAAGGUUGACUCGACGAUUCAUAUGAAGAUGGCCAUUGAACAAGACGAGUUGAUGACCAACUCGGCGAGUCCGAUAAAGAUUGCCUUAGACUCGACGAGUUGUAUGAACAACUCAGCGAUUCGGAUGAGUUUUCCCCAAGUUAUGAGUGCGUGUGUAGCCGACGUGUUGCAAGAAGGAAACUCGACGGGUGGCCUUAUGGUUUCGAUCGAAAAUCGUAAGAACUCGACGAGUCACCCGAUGACUCGGCGAGUAGGAAAGAAUUUCAAAGAACUCGGCGAGUAGCCGAGCGUACUCGGCGAGUUAAGCUCAACAAGGACUGUUGACCUUGACUGAAGACUUUGACUUUGACCUGGGGUUGACUGGUUGGUUUAUGGAGUACUUGUGAGGUUGAGGAUUUAUGAGUAUGCUCGUACUGUGGUAAUAGGUGGAGGAGCGUUUGGCGAGUGAUCCGGGAGUUGGGAUUUAUCUACCGAGUCGACAUCUACGAGGUGAGUUAUCCUCACUGUAUCAAAAGGAUCUAAGGCACCAAGGUCGACCCUUUAGUUGUUAUGGUUAUGAUACGAUGUAUGCGAUUAUGAUCUGAUAGAUUGGAAUCAGGAUAGACAGUAUGUUAUGUUUUAUGAUCCUUAACGAUUGGUAUGUUAGUGGCCUGCUGGGCCCGUGCUCUAGUUAUGAGAGAUCGCCAUGAUUGAUGAUCCGUAAGAUAAAUAGGUUUGAUGUUUGUACAUGCCGGUAUAUGUUAGUUAUGCGCACAUGAUUAUUUGUUUGUUGGUUGGGUUGGGGCGGUCCUGCUUUGUGCUGAAGGCCAACAUACCCUAUGAGCUGUCCGGGGAGACUGUGGGCCCACGUGGCGGUCCAAUCAUGCCGAAGGCUCGGUAUAGAUUUAGUUAGACUGUAGGCCCUGUAGGGCGGUCCAGUCGGGGCGAUGGCCCAAUAUUCAUAUUGAUUGAUUGAUUGAUUAUCACUGAUAUCAUAUUAUCAGUGUGGUGUUGGUAUUUUGGGGGUAGCUCACUAAGCCCUUGGGCUUACAGUUUUCAGUUAUUGUUUCAGGUACUUCAAAAGAUCGUGGCAAGGCGAAGGCGUGACCGUACCGCUCCUCAUCCUUACGAUCUAUUGUUGGGACACUCUGAUGAGUAACGAUUUGAAAACAAUUUGUAAACAAACACUAUUUGGGUUUAAAUUGUGAUUGGAAAAGUUUAAAUUUGGUGUAAAAUUUAUGGAUGUUACACUUGUAUUCACAAACGAAAUGUUUCUUCAAAAAACCUAAUACUACUCCAAUCACAAAUGAAUACACAUCAAAUUACAAAUAAUUCAUUCACAUGAAUAAACACACUCAUUCACAUGAAUACACUACUAUUCAUAAAUUAAUACACAUUCUAUCAUAAAAUGAAUACCUCUAAAUAAAUAAUUACACUCAUUCACAUGAAUACACUACAAUUCAUAAAUACAUACAACAAUUCGCACAUGAAUACACUGUUAUUCAUAAAUGAAUACACUGUUAUUUAUAAAUAAAUAAACAUUCUAUCAUGAACAAGUAUAAUACCCUUAUUUAAUAGAACAUGCAAAAACCUUCAUAAAUCUGAAUUUGAAACCUUUCAUCCAAUAAUCCCUGCACAUCUUCGGAAAAACAUUUCUUUAUUUCUUCGUUAUGAACUUCCCCAUCUUUUGAAAUUAAAGGAAGCCUUGGUCUCAGAGCAGCUUGAAAUGUAUUUUGAUCGAAGGAAAAACAAUUUCGUAUUCCUAUGUCAUUUAAGAUGGAUGUCUGGUUGCAAUCUUAAAAGAAAGGCGGAAAAGAAAGGCAGAAUGAUUUCAUCUUCGGAAAUGAUGAAUCUGAGUUCUGGAAACAAUAAUUUGUGUUUGAGAUUAUAACUUAAGAACUUUAGAUUAUAUUACAAUAAAUAAGAAAACAAAAGGUUAAUACAAUCUUUAUUUAAUUGUCUUGUAGAAGUACAGGAAUUCCAAAUUCAUCCCUGAAUCAUCCAAAGGCAAGUUUAAUUGGUUAAACCACUCCAGCCAUCAAACUAAACGAAACGACCAACAAUUGAUGCUACAAUUGAAAUGACAUAAGUGAACAAAAGAAGGAAGUAUUUCACCUGUCUUCGGCAAUGAUGAAUCUGAGUCCCAAAUCUAGAACAAUUAGCUAGUUCGAAAGAGAAAGGCAAAAUGAUUUCAUCUUCUUUUGUCUUUCAAGACGGAUAUCCGAUUGCACUUGAACCAGGAACACACCUUCCUCUCGGUUUUCCAUGAAUAGAUUAUGAUCUAAACCAGGUACACACCUCCCUCUCAGUUUUCCAUUAAUCGGGUUGUAAGAGACCGAUUGAGAUCGAGUUGCAGGAGGCUAAUUCGAAAUCUACUUGCAGGUCCGAUUAAGGCUAAGAAAACUGAAUGUGCGAUGGAGGUAGGCUAAGAGAUGAAGAUAUCGUGGUGUGCAAAUGAUGGAGGCGGCCAACUGAUUCAACCCUAGGUAGAGAGAGAAGGAGAGAGAGAGAGAGAGAGAGAGAGAUGGAUACGACAAUGGAAAUAAGAGUGGGAAUGAGAAUUUAUAGGAUUAACCUAAAGUUUCAAUUACUGUUAUACCCUUAUGCCAUUUUUAAAGUUACACUGUACUACCAAUAGUUUUAGAAUUAACAUAAAUGACCCGUUUGAUAAUAGCCUUAAAUUUGAAUAUUUAGAUGGGCCAGAUGUGUUCUCAUGCUCUCAACAUUUUAGGUGUUCUCAUUCGAUCCAACUNGGUUAAGGAGGCUCUGUUUGUGUACAAAAUGCCAUAUGAAGAUUGACCAACCCCAUUCACGAGAGGUAUAGCCACCAGAUUCAACCUUUGUGUACUUCUCAAACGCCUCGAAAAUUGACCAACCCCAUUCACGAUAUCUGAUAAUAACAUUAAAAAAAUUAAUAUAUAUCAUAAAAAAUAAUAUAUAUAUAUAUAUAUAUAUAUAUAUAUAUAUAUAUAUAUAUAAAAUCAAGUAUGAACUCAAAAAGUGGUAGGAACCAUGAGGACACGUUUUGACCUUAAGACUAAAAAAAUAAAUAGCCAAUAUUUUAUUUUAUUUAUCAUGGAAAUCUCACAAGAUGAUGUGACAUUUUCGUAAUUAAUUGCGAUAUUCUGAUAAUUUCCGGGGAAGGUUAAUUGUUUGGAGGGUACAAGUGACAAAAGCAAAAAAUAUUAAAAGAAAAUAGAUAAAUGAAAAGGAAAUUUGACCAUGUAGCUUCUUUAGGAGCUGACACGUGCCUCCAUCCCAACAUGACAAGUGUGCAACCCUUAUUAGUUGGUGAGUUUUUUUUCUAGCCGUUCAGUUUUUUAGCCAUAAUUGUUUUUGUUCUUUGAAAGAAAAUCUGAAAAACCAAAGUUCUUAAAAUUUAAUUCUCUACAAGAUGAACAUAAUUAUGAAAAUUUGGUUUUCUUUUUUCUUAUUUUUUAUGUUUAUAAAAGAACCUAGCAAACAAAUUCUCCAAAAAUCAUACAAAUUUAAGAAAUAUUUCUACUCACUAUUCUAAUGACUUUAUAAAAAGAAUUUUUAAAAAAUAAGGUGGUUUAACUACCAAACUUUAUUUUAAAAGAUUAAAUUUUUUUUAAAAAAUGUUGAACAUAAUAUGAAACAAAUAGAGAUGAUUGAAAAUAUUUAUGAUUCAAAAAUAUUAUGAUUCAAUAUGAUCCUUAAAUUGUUUUGAUCUAAAAAUAUUUUGAUUCAAAUAUUUAAUGAUCCUUAAUUAUUAUAUUUUUUAUGAUUCAAAUUAAAUGAAUUAAAAAAAUAUAAUGAUACAAAUGUUUGUACUGAACAAUCACUUUAUUUAAUUCAAUGUAUUAUUAUCCAAAUUAAUAUGAUUCAAAAAUAAAUGAUGCAUACUAUCGUUAUGAUUCAAAAUCCUAUGAUUCAAAAUUUUAUGAUUCAAAAAUUAUAUGAUUUAGAAAAAAAUAUGAAUGAAAAAUGUUGUGAUCCUUAAUAUUCUUCUUAUUUAAAAUUUUAUAAUUAUUAAUCAUUAAAAAUUCAAACCGAUCUUUAGUUUAAAAAAAUCAAAAAAGAAAAAAAGAAAAAUCAUACUAUCAUCAAGUAUGUAGUAAAGAUAUUUAAAAAAUAAAAAAUAAAAAAAAACAGGAAAAAACGCAAAAAAUAUAAAAACAUUAAAACCGAGCAUAAGUCUAUUUUAAAAAGAUUGAACAUUUUUUAACGAAAAAUAAAAAAAAAAUAGUAAAAAAACGACAAAAACCCCAAAUAAAUGAAAAGGAAAAGAAAAACCCGUAUAAAUGACGUUUAAUGGAUGUUCGUCACACAUGAUUAUUCCCUUGAGUCCGUAUUACGUUUCAUGCACAUGCGCCACAUGCGAAUGUGUCACGACCAAGUAAAUGGGUUUGACUUUUGUGUCAUUGCCGAAAUGAUUGGUGGAGAAUAGUUCUCGCGGUUCCUACUAGAUCCGGACUUAUAUAUAUAUAUAUAUGAGGGUCAACAGUGAAUGAUUAUUAACAAGAAACCAAAGAAUCAAUCGUUAGCGUCGAAAUUUAAAGCGAUCAACGGCCAAAAGAAUUGGUACACUUGUACAUUAGAUGCACAUACACCAGAUUAUACAAUAAACCCACCUCUUUACCAAAAGUCCACCUCUUUUUCUGUUUAAAAUUUUUGUUAAGCGACGAUUUUUAUCGAAAAAAAAAGGGAAUAUAUUGUUGUUCUCGAUUUUUCACCAUUUUCCCAUAGAGAUCCAUGUUGAUAUAUAAAAAAUAAAUUUUUUGUUUUCGAAAAAACCAACUUUGUUAUGUUGUUUUUUAAUAUGUAAGUUUAUUUUUAUAUAUAAAACAAAUCAAUUAUACCAAAAAUCUCAUAUUUUUGUCAUCUUUUAAUAAACACUAUCAACGAUUUAAAAAAUCUCGAUUUGUUCAGAUUGACUUUAUGAAUUUAAACCGUAUAUAUUUCAAUUUUAACAGUCACAAUGACUUACUAUUAUUCACAUUGUGAAUCUGCUCAGAUUCACAAUGUCAAUGUGGGCAGAUUCACAAUGUGAAUUUGAGCAGAUUCACAUUGUGAAUCUGUAUUGAAUUUUUUUGGGUAAAUUACACCAUUCAUCCUUUAUGGAUGUGUCGAAAAGCGUGUUUAGUCUAUAUUUUCAAAAAUUAACUAGGACUAUCCAUUGUUUGGUUAAAAGUUGCACAUGUCAUCCCUCGUUAGUUUAAAUUUGCUUGUUUUAUCCAUUGUGUUGGGUCUGAAAUUAUGGUUUAUACUUUACCUUUCUAGGAAAAUGUAUUUUUAUGUCUAGGAUCGUAAACAGCUUGGUGUUUACGGCUUUAUAUGUGUGUACGGCCGUACACGGGUUUACGACCGUAAACCCGUGUACGAACCAUGUUUCCUAUAAAUAUAGGUGUAAGGGGGAGAGGAGUGGUAGAGGAGUGUACAUCCAAUAGGAGCUUAAGUGUGUGUAUUCUAUGGUGUGAUAGAGAGAGAAAGUGAAUCUUGUGUAAGGAACUUCAUUAAUAUAAUCAAUAGAUUGAAGAUUCAUAUCAUCAAUAGAUUAGAUUCAUCUUAUUCUUCUUCUACUUCUCUUCUAUUUUGAUCUGGCAUCAUCCGUUUGAUUGAGAUUCCGCACAAUCAAACGGAUCUAAUUGAUACACAAGCAGAUUGGGGACUUACAAGUGGUAUCAGAGCAAGGAUUGUAUCAAUCAUAUUUAUCAGAUCUGGAGCGUAUUUGAUCUUAUUUUUGAAGGAUUUCUACGUUUUUGGAUAGAUCUUGGCAAAAUAAGGAGGGUUUUUUCUUCGCGUUUUUUAUAAAAACGAGUUCGGGAUUGAGUUUUGGAGCAAAAAGUGUGAAAAACAUCGUUUUUUUCGCAUCUGUUGAAGGGUGGCCUCGGAGUAUACGGCCUGGGUGUAUGGUUCGGUGUAUGGCUCAGCAGCCUCUUACAUGUACGGCUCGGUGGUUUACAGUCCAGCAGCAUUUCUGGUUCACUUUUUUUUCGGCCUGACACCUCGCAUGUGUUCGUUCAAUAGUCUCGUUCAGCAACCUUCUUUCUCGUUCAGCGCUUAUUAUAAAAGGAAGGGAUUUUUGGGGGCUGCCGAGUUUCGAACCCGGGUCUCAUCCCUACUCAACGAACGCACCUUACCAGUUGAACCAACUUGUCACAUGGUACACUCCUUUCGAAUUUAAGUCAAAAGGCUUCUUAUUUCGAUCCAAGUUUCGCAAUUUUGACAUUUUUUGCCCAAAAAUCAAUUUUUUUUUAAUUUUCAAAUUUCAUUUUCAAUCAAAAGUUUUGAUAUUUAAUUUUUGAAUUUUAUUUUUGACUUUUGACCUUAAAAAAAUUGACUUUGACUUCAAGUUUGACCUUUGACUUUAAACUUUGACUUUCUCGUUUAACUUUCAAAUUUUCAAAUUUAGCUUUUCGGUUUGACUUUUAAAUUUGACUUUUUAAAUUUGACUUUUAAGGUUGACUUUUGAGUUCUAAGUCAAAGGGCAUAUUUUAAACAAUGAGUUCCUCAAAUAUUCCGAUCAAUGAUGUUUCAUGUACUCCACCUUGUGAAACUACUAUUAAGUUUCUUCGUGAACAAAUCGAUUUAUUAAAAAGAGAAAAUGAGGAACUUAAAUAUGACGGAUAUCAACUUAGGAAAGGCCAGAAAUCAUUGAAAGAUCAAUUAGAGGCCAAGACAAAAGAAUUUAAAAAAUUACAGGCAGAGUACAGUGAAAAAUAUGUCCAUUAUAAUUAUCUUAAGAAUCAUUUUGACAUUGUAACUGCUGAACUUGACACAUUGAGAACUCGUUUUACAAAUGCCGACUUUAAUUAUAAAAAGUUCGACGUGUCAAGUGAAAGGGUUGAAAAAAUAAUUGAACUUCAAAUGAAAUGGAGGGACCAGAAGCAACUAGGAAUAGGUUAUGAGGGUGUCCCUCUCCCAUUCUGUCACAACUGCACUACCAAACCUUUGACUCAAGAAGAGAUUGACCAAGAACAAUUUAUAGUAUACAGUAAACCAGGUGCUGAACAGGCAACUGAGGGUGUUGAGAUGAAAGAUACCAAUGAUUCUACUUCAUGUGUAGGUAAAGUAGUAGAGGAUGAGAACAAUGAGAAAACUAUUGAACAAUCCAAUGACUCCUUGAAAUUUGAUCUGUUGCUUCGAACUAUGUUGCUUCUAACUCAGUCACUCCUAACAAACCUGCGGUUGAGAAAUACAAGCAACCAAAACAAGCGAAAUCGACGACCUGCUGCAAGUGUGCUUGUGGGAACAAUAAGAAACGAGGCAAGGGCACGCUACCAAGGGCAGGAAGAAACAACUUCAUAGUGAAGAAAAAGACUUGCUUUCACUGUGGAACACCUAGACACAUUGCCAGAAACUGUCCAAAUCGCACAUACAUUACCUACUAUGCACAAGGGUGGCAGAACGCCCCAAGAGGGAGAUUUUCCAAAAGAGACCCUUCGAGGUCACGUUCAGACAAUGGUGACUGGAAUGCCACGAAGGGCAAGAGUUCAACUCCCAAGGCCAUGAAUCAAAUCCCAAAGUUAAGAAGGCUAUGACGGCCAGGAAGCCCAAUCCAAGAGAUGCUCCAGUGAAACUAAAAUCAAAGUCAUCUCGAAGAUCAGGUUCAUGUACAAAAGCAAGUACCGAGGCACCCAUCCGAUCCAAUAAGAAAUGGGUUAAAACCGACUACAGAUGGGUACCAAAGGUUCAAUCUCAUAAAUCUUCUAAUGAUUCUAAUAUUUCUACAUAUUCUGUUUGUGAUAAACAGGAUAUGUCAUGAGAGAGAGUUUCUUGCACAGAUGAAAAAGGUCAACCCAGUUUCAAAAUGAACUGGGUUCCAAAGACCAACUGAUCCCGCUAUGUGUCGAAGCAACUAUGGAGGCAUAUCAUCAGACUUCGGUUUGUUGAUAGUGGCUGUUCCAGACACAUGAUAGGGGACAUCUCUCAACUGUGCAACACUCAUAACUUUGUUUGAGAGUAUGUGUACUAUGCGGGAAAGAAAGGAAGGAAGGAGAGAAUCACACAUGGGGUUUGUGCUUAAUGACAUGAAGAAUUUUCGGAUCUGUUCUGAGAUUAUGUGUGUUGUUCGCAGACCUUCUAGAUGCAAAUUCAAUCGGUGAAUUACGGUUUGAUUUUUCUUCUCGAUACUCCUGUGUUUAUGUUUCACUUAUUCGUUUUUGAAGACAAUCUUUUAUUUUCUUAUAGUUUUUCGUCAGUAGGUAUUGUUAGGGAAGUGAUAACAAGAAUGUGAUAACGGGAAGUCUAAACAUGUGUAAGGGACUGAAUCUGAAUUGUCUAGACUCUGUGUUUAGUAUGCUGGUAGGCAUGAAGGAUUUGACAAUGUGGAUUUAGAUAGGAUUGUUUAGACUAACCAUAUGACACUCGGGUAGAUUGAGCAGUGACAUAAACACGGGAACCCACGGGAUACACUAAAAUUAAUAUGCAUCUAGAAUAGUGGUUCAACUUUUCCUUAAUGUACAAACUAAUGUCCUUAAUUCUAGUUCUGAUAGGGCGACUGGGGGUUCUGAUAAAGUAGGUAUGUAGGAAAUUAUUUUCUUGCUUUCUAUCUGUCAGUCAUGUGUUGCUUCCUCUGCGUGAUUGGAAGAGAUCCGACCUGGAAUGCAACAUAUGCAACUCUGUCACAACUAGGAAUUUUGUUGCUUUGUAACGACAACAAUGAUAACAAUUGUGAACCAAAAAUGUGAAAGAAUGUAUGAUGCUUAUUCAAUAACAACAAAACUUCCAUCAACACUUUAUACAAACACUGCAAAUAGUCAACAAAGAAUUGGAAACCCUAGAAAUCCCGUUUUAAGUCCAUUUUAGACUAGGACUUCCUUAUUGGGCCUGAUGGGCCAAUAAGCUUCCAAUUUGACUAUUUUGGGCUUAGAACUCUAAAAUGGGCUCUAAUUGGACCCACGUCCAUUUAUUUUAAUAAUUUGGGCCAUAUUGGGCCUAGAAUGAAAUAAAAUACCCUAAUGGACCGUAUUGGGCCAUAACUAACCUAAUUAGCCCUAAUGAGCCAUAAAAAUCAUUCCUUGAUUUAUUUUGGGCCGUGAACCCUCUCCAAAGACCAAUUGGGCCAAAAAUCAUCUAAUUGGAUCAUAAUAUUGGCUUAAGCACAAAAGGGCCCAAAAAUCUUUCCUUUUCUCUCUUUCUUGACCCAAGAAGAAAACAAGAGAAAAAAAAAGAGAAACUAAUGAAAUAAGGUGGGUUAGCCACCACCUUAUUACCUUAUGGAUUUCCAUGCACCAUCCCAUACAUCCAUGCAACUCUCUCUCUCUUCUUCUUCUCUUCUUAUUACUCUCGGCCAAGAGGAAACACACACACACACAACUCACUUCAACAUAUCUCAAGAACUCACAACAACCUCUUUCUUCUCCACCAAAAUUUUCGAGAUUUAGAGCUUUUCAAGGAAGUUUUUCCACAAAAAUCAUCAUCUUAGGUAAGUUGAUGCUUGGAUCCAUAAUCUAGACUCUUUAUUCUAUCAAAAAUCUCUUCUUAACUCAUAUAAACUCAUGAUCAUCACCUUAGAAUCCUCUAAGUUCGAGAUCCACCCAAGAGAGCUUGCUAGGGCCGAAAAUACCAUCAAACUUCUUCCCUUUCUUCUUCAAAUCGAAAACAACAAGCAAAGGUGAGUUCAUACCCCUCUUUUUCGGUUUUUACAAGUUUUAUGGGGGAGAAUACAAGUAAAAUGUGUAGAUCUAUGUGUAUGUGUGUGCUAUGUAUGAUUUUAUGCAUGUAUGUGUGAUUGUAAGUGUUUAUGUGGUAAAUAUGCAACAAAAAGAGAAGAAAUAUCGAGAUCUAUGACAUAAGAAGGAAAAAAAACAUGAUCUAAGGUAUACUACACUAAACAAGUCAAGAAAAAUACCCUCUAAGAUUAAAAUAAACAUAUUGUAACAUAAAACAAAUUUUUGGGGCUUAAAUUCUCAAAUAAACAAAAGUUGGGUGAAAAAUUGCCAUUCACGGUUUUCUUGAGGGUCAAAAGAGUCAAAACAGUUAAAAUAAAUGCUUUUUUAUGAAAAUUAUGCUUUUCAAAGGACUUGAAACGUAAAUAUUAGCUCAAUGGGCCAAUUUUUGGGCUUUUCGGCCCAUUAAGCCCAAAGUUGCGAAAAACAUAAUUUUCAAAGGGCUGAAAUGGGUCAAACCAAUAUUUUGAAUCAAUUCUUUUACUAUGAGGAUGUUUGAGUCAAAAAUACAAAACCACAACUCAUGAAGAUGAACAUAUGUAAAAUCCCAAAAAUCGUUAACAAUAACCGAGCGGCCUCGUGCCAAUUCAAAAUACCAAUCGUCCAAACAAACCUUCCAACAAUUAAACAAUUCCUAAAAACAAGUAAACAAUCCAAACUUGGGCUUGANAGUAAACAAUCCAAACUUUGGGCUUGAAAGUCCAAUCAUGCUUGUUGGGCCUUUGUGACCCAUUAACAUGAUUUUGGGCCCAAGGAAUAAAUAAAUGUUAUUGGGCCUCCUACGACCAAAUUUCAUAUUUAAGGGACCCUCAAUGGCUUUUAAGUGCUAUCGGGCCUUAGUGGCCCAUUAGUACUGCUAGUAAGGUCCAAGUAAACAAAUAUAGGUCGAUAAUCAAUAGUAAUCAAGUCAAUUGGGAUUUAGUGAGUAAUAACGGGUAACACCAACGUGUGUCGGUCGUAGUAUGUAGUUAUAAUCAAAGUUUCCUAGAGGGAGAGCGAGAGUUUAUGUAUAGAUCUAUACGGGGUGACUCCCCCACACCUCAGCUGUUCGCUACAGUUAGACUCGGCCAGUCUAGGUGACAAAAUCUGAAGAUCAAUUCUGGCGUUCAACAGAAUGCUAAGACAGACGAACUAGUCAUUAUCAUUCAUGGUUAUAACGACUCACAUAAAUAAACCCGAUAUAAAUCAAGUAAUCAAGGUAAUUCCAAAUCAUUCACAUGAUGGGAUAACAAUUCGAACCGUAUAGGAUAUUUUUAUUUUGGAAAACAUCGGGCUUUCUUGGAAAGUAUAUUAUACUUAGAAGAGGGAUGCCGUAAUCUAAGUAAUAACAUAUUUGAAAGGUAGGUGAAUGACGUUUCACCAAUUUCCACCAUGAAAAACAAAAUGAAUUAUUAGGUUUUAAUUGGAUUUGAAAUUUCUAGAUUCUUUUGAGAUUCAUUGAACUUUUCAAUGGCAUGUUUCAAUCUCGAUUGUGCCCUUCAAGUUUUGUGACUGGGAUGCCGAGGAUCACAAAACAAGGUGUGAAUAACCAUGCUAAUUCACUUGGUACCCUUAAUAUUAUCACCUAAUCAAUGUGUCGGUUAACUACACACGCUCCAUUGAUCUAUGACAAAUAUUAAGUCACCCUUCGUGAUCCUUACUAGUCCAAGUUAGUGUGCCGGUUAACCACACACGCUCCACCAACGACUUGGUAAGGUACAAAGUGUGAAUUCCAUGGACUAGCACCAAAUUCACAUUUUUCCUAAAGUAACUAAGAUUGGGAAUUAAAUAAAAAAUUUUUAGUUACUUUAUAAUAAUCAUUAUACUUUUAAUGAGAAUUUAAAGUCAUUGUCCUACCCGUUCGGCUAACGACCCUCCACCAGUCAAGCAAGCGGUGGGUGAGAGUGGACACCCAUUAAGUCGCCAUUUUAUAGGCAACAACCUUAUACCCACCUUAUAGACCGGCUUCGUGAAUGAGGCCUACUAACGGUAAAACGACUUGUUCUUAUACAUAUAUAUAAUAAUUAACCAUUAAUGUUAUAAAUAGUAUAAGUGUUAAAUUUUAACUAUUAAAACUCUAAGGAUUGGAAUUAAAGUUUAUUAAAGUGUGUGAAACUUUACAAAUUCCAAAACUUGAGGGCGAGUUUUGUAACUAUUCAAAACUUUUCAUUUAAUAACUUAUGAAUUAAAUGUUCAUAAAAAUGAAGACUCUUCAUUUUUAUGUAACUUAUGUGUUUUAAAUGUGUGUUUAAAAGAAGUGACCUUUGGACAUCGAUAACUUGAGAACAAAUUAUGGAAUCCAUUAAAACACAUAAAUGAUCAACAAUUAAUCAUAAACAAUUCAGCAAAUAAUUCCUAUCAUCUUCUAAAUUCAUAAGAACAUGAACAUCAAAAUUUCAACAAAACAUGAACACAUAUAAGACAUGAAAUUUUGAUAUGAGCCAUUGUAAAUGGAUUAGAACAACCANACCAUUACACCAACUAAAACAAGUUUUAAAACACCAAAACAAUUUAGGGUAAUGUUUCUAGUCCAUUUCCAGCAGCAAAAGUUGAAAAUCUGCAUUAUGAGGCUUCUACUCGUCGAGUGCACUAACCUACUCGACGAGUAGGAUGAAUUUAGUCAUGGACUCGGCGAGUCCCCCCAUGGACUCGGCGAGUUCAUCAUGCAGACAGCAAGAAGAUCGACUUUUUUCACUAUUUUGCAUCAAGUAUCAAACAAACAAGCCUAGACUCUGAUACCAUUGUUGGGUUUUGAGCAUUCUAACACUUCCUAAGUGUACAUAUAACCCUAAUAAACCUUGGAUCUAUGUUUGUCUAUAAUACAUGCAAAAUUUGUUUUCCAAGGUUUAUAACUUAUCUAGCAUGGCAUGGGGAACUUUUAAACCUAAAAGAACUAGAUGAAUUACAUACCUUUUGAUGAGUGUUGAUUCCUUGGAGUUUGAGAGCCAAGAACCAAUAAUGUGAAUGCCUCAAAUGGAAAUCACAAAUCACCACAAACUUGGAAAAACUUAUGAAAGUGUAUACUUUGCACUAGAAAUCGGCAACCACUUCUUACACACACUAGGGUGUCAAUUCAUGCUCCAUAGGCUUGUUUAUAUAGUGUAGAUGAUUAGGGUAAACCCUAAUAACCCAUGUCUUUUCCUCUUCCAAGGAUCCAUGGGUUAAAAGCUCCAUGGAUUAUCCAUGGACAUCCAUAUAAGCUAAGCCCAUUCCCAAAUGAGUGGUAGCCCACACCAUACAAAUAUAAUAUCCCAUGAUUUAAUUAGUCUUCCUUUUAAUCACUAAAUCAAUUCAUAAUUAAUUUAAGAUUAAAAAACAUAAAUAAAUAACAUGACUUUAUAUUAAUAUAUUAUAACUUAUAAUAUAUUAAUAAAACAUAAGUAUACAAUUCUCCUAAUAUUAUCCAUAAAUCGUUUGGGUGAAGUGCAACCCAAAUGGACCAUGCGGGGUUGGGUCAAGUAUAUACAAAAUAAGUUAUGGACCUAUACAACUUAUCCAACAAAUGUUUAUUUUAUGAUUCAUGUAUAUUCAUUGUGAUGAUAUUCAAUUUAAGUCACUCGAGCCCUCGGACGUUUCCGCCGUCUGGUUCGGGGGUGUGACAGGUUGGUAUCAGAGCACUGUUUAUAGUGAACUAGCAUAUCUAACCACACAUUGAUAUGCAACUACAAAGAAAAGAGGGACAAAACUGUUGGGUUUUGAGCAUUCUAACACUACUAAGUGUACAUGCAACCCUAUAAACCUUGGAUCUAUGUUUUCUCUAUUAUAAAUGCAAAUAUUAACUAUUCAAAGGUUUCAUCCUAACUAGCAUAUUAUGAAGCACCUAUACAACAAACUUCUAGUUAGAUGACAUACCUUUUGAUGUAGCUUGAUGUCUUCAAGAUUUAAGAGCUUAGCCCCAAUAGUGUGGAAGGCUCAAGUGGAAUCACAAAUCACCAAAACACCUUGGAAGACUUUGAGAAUAAGGGUACUUUGGUUCUCUCUAGUGAAAUCAACUAGCCCUUCUUAGUGUACCCACACUAGUGCCAAUUUCACCAACCAAGGACAUCUUUAUAUAGUGUGGAGACUAGGGUUAAACCCAUGACCUUUCAUUUCAUAUGAUCCAUGGGUUACACACACCAUGGACUAUCCAUGAAAGCUUAGCCUAAGCUAAAUGAAAUUAGCCCAUUCCACAUAUAUAAGAGUCCAUAUUUAAUUAGUUCAUUUUGAUCACUUAAUUAAUUAAUUCUUGAUCAAUACAAAUUAAAUAAUAUGAUUCCAUAUUAAUAUAUUAGAACUUAUAAUAUAUAAAUAUAAAUCAUAAAUAUACUAUUCUCAAAAGACUAUCCAUAUAAAUUAUGUCGGUGAAGUGCAACCCAAAUGGACCAUGCCGGGUCGGGUAAAGUACAUAGCAAAUAUAGUUAUGGACUUAGACAUUAAUCCAAUAGUCUCCCACUUGGAUAAGUCUAAAACUAUUAUUGAGUAUGACUUCAAAACCUAACUAGCAAUCGUAGCACUUAAAGCCGCUGUCGAACUCUGACCUUGUAAAUGACUUGUCCAUUAGAUAAGGGAUCAUAUAUUUCUCCAUUCUAGAUAUCAUAUGGACUGAGACAUGGAUUAUAAUCAUUCUCUCUGUCCAUUUAUUGUUUCCGGAUUUCCGAUUCAUGACGAUUGACUGAUUGAACAAAUCAAAUUAGUCCUAGCUUGGCCAAGCACUCACAUGUGUCAUCAUUAAAUCAUCGAGGGGCCCACAUAUAUCGCUUUUAUCCCGAAGGUAAAAGGAAUGGAUAAACUUUGACUCAUAUGGCUUGUUCUACUACUUGUUGAAUCAUACACAAAGGCACGUUUUAUAACAUCGAGUUACCGAAUGCAGUUUCGUGCAAUCAAUUUACAAACAACUCAUAGUAACAACUCAUAUCUCUAGGUUUGAAGAAUAUAAGAUAUUAUCGUCUCACGAUCACUCGUGAUAAAAUCCAUGAAGUGAUUCAAAUGAGUGCGGGUUGAANAGUUGUAGCACAACUUUGUCCACCAACUUGGACCUCUACAAGCCAACCCAUGACAGUCUUGAUUCAUAUCUACUUCCAACAUAUGACCGACUGUGGAUGGUUUGAAUAACUUAGUCAUUCUGAAAGAAUAACCUAGUUAUUAUGGAAGUCAAAACAUGCAAAGCGAGACACAAUAAUAAAUGAAUCUAAUAUGGUAUUAAAACCUAUGAAUAUAAAUAAAAAAACUUUCUAUUUAUCAUCAUAUUGAUUACUAAUUAUUCAUUGUUUCGGUUUUAUCAACUUUAUACUUAAAUUAAAAAACACUAGGUGUCCCAUGCUCCAAGCAUGUACACUAUGUUUUCUAAACAAUAGCUUUGCCAUACACCAAGUAUGAACUCUAUGCUUGUCUAUGAUCCUUUUCUUUUUGAACUAGAUCAAUUGAACAUAAUUUCAAUGAUUCUCUUUUCACACUCCCAAUUCCUUGUCUUAAAUGUAUGAAUUCCAAAUUCCUAUUAUUUAUCGAAUUCUCUUUAGAUUUUAAACUUAUAUGCACUGUUCCUAUUGUAAUGAUUAUGCACAAAACCACAAAGGCUUGGCAACAAUCAUUACAGAGUAUUCCAAUGGAAAAGCAUUCCAUGGAAACGAUGUCUCAAAUUCAAAGCGCAUUGCUUUGAACAUGCUUCUUGCAUUAGGUUUCUUUAACCAUACACAGAUUGUGACAACCGUCAAUUUUCGGUCAAGUCAAAGUCAACAAGUCAAACCGGUAAACUCAAUUUGCCCGUAGGUACUAGAGUUUACAUUAUGUAAUUUCUAAACAACACUCUAUUCUAAUGAGAGAUCAUAAAUCGAAAAGUGCGUACAUCUAGAUCUCCUUAACCUAAAACUAUGGUACGUGGCGAGCCAAACCAAUAAAACAAUUUUGCAUACUCAUCGGGAGUAUGCAAAAUCCUUAAACAAGGCUUAACGGGGCUUACGGACCUUGCAUUGUGAAGCCGGACACUUACAUUCAUCACACACGAAACCGCUCUCAAUCGUUUUCACUCUAUCUCUUUGUAUGAGAAAUCUCUCCAAGAAUGUCAAAUCUCUCCCAAAUCCCUCUAAGAAUGUGAAAUCUCUCCCACAUAUCUCUUUGUAUGAGAAAUCUCUCCAAAAAUGUAAAAUCUCUCCCAAAUCUCUCUAAGAAUGCUAAAUCUCUCUCACAUAUCUCUUUGUAUGAUAAAUCUCUACAAGAAUGUCAAAUCUCUCCCAAAUCUCUCUAAGUAUGUGAAAUCUCUCCCAAAUCUCUCUCUGAAUGAGAAAUCUCUCCAAGAAUGUCAAAUCUCUCCCAAAUCUCUCUAAGAAUGUGAAAUCUCUCCCAAAUAUCUCUUUGUAUGUGAAAUCUCCCCAAGUAUGUCAAAUCUCUCCCAAAUCUCUCUGAGUAUGUGGAAUCUCUCUCAAAUCUCUCUCGAAAUCUCUCCCAACUCUCUAUAAUCACUCGGGGCAUCCCGACCCUCGAAUUUGGCGAGAACAGCCCAAAAACGGAAGUCUACGCGAAAAACGGGCAUGAGGAACCGAAACCCCUCUUAGGACCCGAAAGUCCUCUUAGGAACCGAAAGUCCCCUUAGGAACCGAACCCUCCUGAUGAAGAAGGCUGCUGAACCGAACCGAACCUCACUCUAAGAACCGAACCCUUCUGAGCCGAAGGCUGCUCAACCGAACCCGAACGUUCGGCACCUUUCGGUUCUGACCAUUUCCUCUUCUGAUGACUAACCGAACCCUCCCUUCUGAUGGCUUGCCGAACCUUCCCUUCUGAGGACCGAGGACCGAGCCCUCGCUUCUGACUUCGGACCGAGCUCCCCGCCCCUUCGUUUCCCUCUGUUCGUUUCCGGCUACAAUCCUCAGCAUGGACCGAGCCUCGGCCUAGGGACCGAACCUCGGCCUAGGACCGAGAGGUCUCGCUGGGAACUCAUUUUCUCCCGGUUUUCGCGUAGUUUUGCGUUUAAGGCCCGUUUUUAAUUAUUUUAACGCGGGAUUUUCACCCAAAAUCAUAUUUUAACAUAAUAAACCCUAAAUAUUCACAAUUUAAUCAUAUUUUCAUAAAAAUCUUUAUUUAAAUAAUAAAAGCAAGUGGGUAAAGUACAAAGAGGUGGAGUGUUGACUUUGCUUUACCUUAUGACACAAGCAACCACUCCCACACCCACUCUAUGACCAGCCACACCUCCCCACCUUACCUAGGUCACAUCAAUGUCCUUUUCACUCAAUCAUCACUCUUUCCCACGUUUUUGAGAGCUGAAUAUUCAUCCUCUCUCCUCACUUCUCUCAUUUGCUCUCAUUUCACAAGAAGAUCAAACUCUUUUCUCUCUCACUUUCUCUCUCUAGAAAUUCGAGAUUUCCAGGGCUGAUCUUGAGUUUUUCCUCCACAUUUGGUAAGCAUAAUCCAUUCUCUUUAUGAUUAUCUCAAUUAUUUCCACUCAAAUCAUGGAUAUCUUACACAAACUCCAUUAUAUUUGUGUUAGAUCUUCGAAUCUUCAAGUGAUUCUUCAAGUGUUCUUGGGUUGAACACUUCUCUUCUUCAACACUUAUCUACUGAAAUCACUCAAGGUGAGUUCAUACCCCUACAUUUUCAUGUUUUCUCAAGUUUUUAGGGGGGGAAUACAAGUUAAAACACCAAGAACAUAACUAAACUUUUCUAACAGCCUUCAUCAGAAAAGUUCAACUCCAUUCACGGACUGUUUUGGACAACUUAAACAUUUUAGUUUUCAAAACUGUUUUAGGUGCAUGUAGUUCCACUUCUUAGCUUUAAAAUGACUACUUGCACAUCUCCAUACGAUUUUUCUACAAUUUAUGGUGAUUUUUACAAAACUGCCUAUCAUUUCAAACAUCAAUCCGGACCAGUCUGUGAUUAUGGACUUUUUCACACAAGUAAGAAGUCAUUAAAAAUUAUAAUAAAAAUUAUGAACAAACUAGACUCAUUUUCCAAACUCUCAGAAGUUACAGAACUUGAUUUGGACAUUUUAUGAUUUUUCUACAAAUUUUCCAAUAACAGUUACAGAAAAUGUUAUUAACAGAAAAACACUAUAAAUUUCAUUUCACCUUGUAACAUGUUGAGCAAGGUAUACAUCAUUAUGUGAUUAUGUGUUGUUGCAAUAUAUGACAAUUUUGUAUUCUUAUAUAGACAUACAUCAGAAAACAAAUGGAUUUAUACCUCCACAAGUAUGGUAAAUAUAUAAAUGAUAUUACAAGGCUAUAUCCAUUAAAAUAUAAACAUUGGUAAAUUAUGACAAGUAAGGCUUAUGCUCACUACCCACACAAAUAAUUAAUAAACUAUAAUAGGUAUAGUUUAGGGUUAUUUUACAUAACAAACACAUGAUUAAAGGUUUUACACAUACAAAAGAGUUAUUACCACUAUGGAUAAUUAUGAUAAACUAUAAUAAGUAUAGUUAAGCCAUUAUACCCCCACAAACGAACACGCUAGUUAUAAUCGGUAUAGUUAUGGUAUAUAUAUAUUACAAACAAAGUGAUAAACUAUAAUAGGUAUAGUUUAUGUUUCAUCUACCCUAUGAACUUAAUUACAAGAAAGGAAUUCACCAUCACCACCACUUUUGGUAAACUAUAAUAUGCAUAGUUCAUGUUCACUAGUCACUAUCACUAUUUGAUGAACUAUGAUAUGUAUAGGUUAUAUUCACCAUCACCACCACUUUUGGUAAACUAUAAUAUGCAUAGUUCAUGUUCACUAGUCACUAUCACUAUCCGAUGAACUAUGAUAUGUAUAGUUUAUGUUCACAGUCACUAUUACUAUUUCAUACACUACACUAGGGUUUGGUUCCGGUUUUUGGAUUUAAGUCCACAUUAAAUUUUCGCAUUGUUAGACUUCAACUAUAAUCGUUGAGCGUAUAUGCUUGAGUCAUACAAGAAUUUAGUCUGGAUUGGCUUAGAAUUGGUGGUGCCCGCCUCAUCUCCUGUUCCUCGUUGGGUUGUGGACCUAGGGCAGACCCACUAUAUUCAACGUUUUAUCUAACUUAAAUCUUAUAUAACUUAUAUACGCUGGACGAUUAUAGGGGAAAUCUACGGGUCAAUCUAGGGUUCAUCAACACAUCAUAUAGGAAUAUUCUGUUUACACUUAACUAAGAAAAUAUUGGAUUUUCUGGAGAUCAAACUCUAUCGAUUUUAAAAAGGAAAACGGUUUCUACUCCAAACAAAACUCUUAUGAACUCACCAACUUAAUUGUUGACCUCUUUCAUAACUACUUGUAUUCUCAGGAAAUCAGUGAAACAGGAAAACUUCAGCGCUUUGAGGAUGGGACGUUAAACUGUCAACAAUUUAUUUUUGUCAUUAUAAUGUAAUUGAUUUUGAAACAUGUAAACAUAUACUUUGGUGUAACUUUUUCAAUUAUAUUUAUGAUGGUUGUAUUUACUUUGAGCACUAUUAUACACGUAGUUGUGAUACUGUGCAUGAAGUCCUCCACCCCCGGACGUUUCCGCCAUCCUUGGUUUGGGGGUAUGACACAGAUUGCUUCCACCUAUGAAGGCAACUCUAUAUUCCCAUUUUGACUACCACUUUUGAACAAGAGUUCCCUCUUUUCAGACUAUGUCAAUAUGGCCCUUCCAAUAUUAACAGUAUACUUCCAGUUGUCCUUGAGCCACCAAUCUUUGGUAAACCUUAGAUUGUCCUCGACAAUUGCUUAAUCACUUUAGUCAUAUCUAAUUCUAGACAUCAUUCCCCUUAAUGCCCCAAGGCAUUUGGAAAAUUCAGAAAUGAUAAAUAUUAUAGCACAUGUAAUCGAUCUUAUACCCAAAGUAAAUGGGACAAGAUUCAUGAUGUUUCAUAUAAAGACAUGGUUCUAGACCAGUCUUUCGCCAUAAUAAUUUUUAUUUGCCAUAUUCUCAAAAUUUGACUAUGAAAAGGGAUGCCAUAAUCAUAAUUGAAUUUUAGAUUGCAAAUAAUAGACCCAUAUAUAGAAUUUCCUUAUGUUGAGCCAUUCCAACAUCAAAUUCAUAUAUGUAUCCUUGACUAAAUACGAUUAGAACCUCAAUCUAAGCUUUUAGAUUUGAGAUGAAGUAUAAUUUCCUCUCCCUUAAUUAUAGCAAAACAACUUUUUCUACCCCUAUAACCUCACGAAUUGAAACUUUUGUUUUAUAUAAUUAACAUUGCUAACUUGCAAUUCUUAUCAUAAUUAUCAUGCUCCCACGAACAUGAUGACUAUUAGCAUAUCACUUAUGCUCCCACUAGCAUUCACAUGUAUCUAGAAAACAGCUGGAACUGUAGAAGUCAAUACUUUAUUGACAUUCUUACCAAAGCUCAGAUUUCUGAUACUAGAUUGCUUUGAUAAGGCUUUAUCAAAAUUAGACACCUUAUCUUAGAUAGCUCACAGGUGUGUCUAAACAAUUUCAUAACUAUGAAAAGGGAUGCCGUAAUCAUAGUCUCAAUUGUUUAGACCUUUUUGCCAUUUCUCAUAAGUCAAUGUUAGUGUGCCGGUUAACCACGCACGCUCCACUAAUGACUUUCAGAACUGCAAAUAUCACAACUGCUAUCUACUUAGUGAAAGAGUUUCCUUACCAUCAUUUUCAUGAAUCAAAGAGAAACCUUAUGACACUUAGAUUUUAUGGUGUAUAUGCUCUUAUCCACGUGAAUUUGUCAAACCAUAAUCACAAGACUAGGUUANCUAGGUUAGUGACAAAUCCUAACUCAUAUGGAUUGAACUUGUGCAAUCUUAACUUCUUGCCACCUGGCAGCUCAAGGGCUUGCCAUUGCUUCCAUGUAGCUAUGCAAACAAUUAAGAACAUGUAGAACUCAAAUGUAUAGCCAACUUAACUGGAAUGGGCACAAAAAUGUCAGCACGAUAGGUUGUCAACCUCUAGUUGUGUGCUAGUGAUGAAAUAUAGGUUUUAUUCUUGAUUACUUCUUGAAACCCUAUUAGGAUCUUUUAGACUCCUACUGUCUCCUUGAUCUAUAAGACUUUCUUUCCAAAUAUUCAAGAGAUAGUGUGGAUUCUAAUCAAGACAAACACUUAACACAACUGGCCUAAGUUGAUCUUUGUUUUAUCCAAAACAUCACAACCUGCCAAUUUCAAAUGUACAAGAGUAGAAUACUUUUACUCUUACAUUUGACAAGUGUUUUAAACCUUCUUUAAGACAUGUCACUUAAGUUACAAUCUUAGAGUAUAACUCUAAGAAUCGUUUUUGGAACGAAGUAUGAAUCAUCUUCUUGAUUUAACCACUUCAACAAUUCAUAACUCCUCUUCUUAACUAUCAGAAUGCACUUAGAGGAUGAAUUGUGAUAAGGUGUCAAAUUCAUUAAGAUGAUCUUAAAACAUGAUACUAAAUACCCUCCCAUCUUUUCAUAUUUGAGAAACUUUUAUCCUUCUGCCUAAUUUGAUUCUUCAUAUUCGUUCUGUUAUACAUUGAAACUUUUCCAAUGUCUCAUAAUUAUACUUAAGCUUGUAAGUAUAAUCAUAUUUACUAAACCUUAGUAAAUCAUGACGAAUAGUCUUAUCUAUCUUUUGUGGUGGACUUUGACAAGUGCACAAGAAAGUGUACUUGAUCCCUUAAUCCUUCUCUUGAGUCACAUAUACAUGUGACCAUGGAACUAGUCUUAAUUUUCCAAAGUUGAAAAUUCAGACACUACCACAAAUGAAAGAAUCAAAUUCAUAUUUCCAAUAUUGCUAUAAACAUACAAACAUCAAGUUUUCAUGAAUGUCAUUGUAAGGAGAUAAAAAUAAAGUAAAACAAACUUUUAUUUAUUUUAAAAUGCGGAAAAAAAAAACUUUUUCCUUACAAUGUAACAUGAAAUGAAAACUAUGUUAUUACAUUUUCCUACCAACCUAUCAUAACUCCUAAGAAGUAGCUCAAGAAUCUGAUCUUCAAUCAAGCGAUAGAAAUCCAUCUUCGAGUUCAGAUUCAACAUACUCUUUCUUUAAGUUUCCUUCUAUUUUCCUUUGAUUCUUAAAACAUCAACAUGUGACCCAGUCACAUCAUGUAAUAAGAAUCUUAAAAUAGAAACUUAAUAGAGUUUGAUAGUGGACUUUACCUGAAGUAGAGUCAUACUUAUUCACUUUACCAGCCUUAUGAUCUUUCAGGAAUAUUUGGCAGCUUCGCAACCAAUGCCCUUUCCUUUUUGGCAAUAGAAUCAUAUGGAUCCUUUGGGAAUGGUACAUGGGAUAGUCUCAGACUUAGCCUUUCUCUUUACCAUUUGGUCAACCGAGUUGACUAUGGCCGAUCCCUUUCCUUUGGGAAGAAAAAUGCUUUUUCUGGAUUUCGAGUGUCACCAUUUUCAAUGUCCAUAAAGUUUUGGGAAGUCGAUCUUCUAAUCAAAUUUGCUUUACUAGCCUUGCAAAUCAUUGUUGAUUCAGCAACACCAAUCAAAUAGAUAAGAUCAUUAAGGGUCUUGUCAUAGUAUGUUUCAUAGGAGUCCCAAAAGGAACUCACUAUGUGACUUAGAAAGUGAUUGAACCACUAACUUUCUCAAGACUUUGACACCCAACUCUCCCGGCUUUUCAGUUUGUGACUUCAUCUGCAAGAUGCGAUCACAACAAGACCUUGCCUUGCCAAUAGGGUUUGAGUGACCUUGAACUUGUGGGUUAGGGAGAAUAAUUGGAGGAGGUGGAGGAAGUGAAGUUCCAAG